CUGCCAAUAAGCCAAUGCACCCGAGGAGUCGUUAACUGUUAUUUGUCUAGUUGCUUGGUCACUUAUAUUGUUUUAAUGAAUCAAUCCUUUCUUUCUGCUCGAGCUCCAUCAUGUACUAUAAACCUAAGACAAAGUACUAUAACCCUAAGACAAUGAAUUCUCAAUAAUAUAGAAGAUCGGUCUUACAUUAUAAGAAAAGAUAGAUCGGCUAAGUCUGACAUUCUCCUUAUUACCCUCGAUUCCCCAGAAUAUAAAUUAUUGUAUAUUGAAGUAACCGCAGAGAUGCAUUUUGAUUAGCCUUAUUGACUCGUUAUUACCUUGACUUUGAUUCACUUAUUGACUCGUUAUUACCUUUACGUGAGUAAGGAAAGGAGGUAAAUGACUUGAUUCUAUAAUGGGUGCACUCAAUUGAAAAAGCACUCAUUGACGCUAUAGGGCUCAUACGAAACUUGUAUAACGGGGUCUAUGCCACUGCCUCUGUCCUAACCUAAUUCAUAGUGUUGGAUUCAGCUGUCUCUGUCCUUUAGUUUUUAAAAGCAAAUCCAAUAAGCUUUUCUAAUCAAAAGCAAAUAUCUCCUUAAAAGAAAAAGAAAGAUCAGAUAGAUAAACAAAAGAAGGAAGUGAGCAAGCGCUGUAACCGAGAAAAGAGUGCAUGCUCAUUAGGCCCCGACCGCCCCUAGCUUUCGUAACCCGUGCUUGAUGCCAAAGUUUGAUACGUCGCCACCACUUCGACCCGGCACAGGCAAACAGUAGCUUCCCUUAACUAAAGCAUGGAACCUCAUACACCAUAAGAUUUUCUAAAUAACAUAUUAUCAUUGUGAGGAAAUCCGUUUCGACGACAGUAACAAAGUAGGAAUGCUGACCCCGACUAACAAGACAGAAGGUAAAUAAUCGAUCAAUUAGAUUGAAGUCCUUUUAUUGAGUAUUCGUUUUUGAAUAUGCUUGGCUUCCAUUGCAUCACACCUACGAUAAAGAAAGGCGGGGAAGGCUUUAUUAAAGAGUCAAAACAAAUUGAUGCAGGCGCCACAUAAAUAGAAAGCAUGUAAAUAGAAAAUGUGCACACUUAGUGAGAAAAGGAAAAAGCAUGAAAACAGAUCCAAACUAUGAGUAAGGAACUGACUUACUGCUUGGCCCACUAAGGGUUACAGAGGAGGAUGCUGUUUAGGGAUGAUUGCAGGAGGAUUUAGUUUAGGGAUGAUUGCUCUUUAAUCCGUCCCUUCCUUACUUCACAAAAUAACUAAUUCCCUAACUCUGAGAAAGCGAGUCUUGUCUUCUUGCGCCGCUCUUCCAGAAUCCAUUCGGGUGGGCCAAACAAGGAAGGCCGUGGAUACACCACUGAAUCGGUCGGGCAGAGAGGUGGUAACCGUGAAACUCCUUUUUUUGAAUCAAAAGGGAUGGUCUUACUUGUUCAAGACAGAGAGCAAUUCCAUUGAAACCAUUUACUGUCUUAAAAAACGAAGUGCUAUUCUUUCUUCUCCAGCCCCUCAGGUAAAGAACAACUAUGUUAUUAGGCUCAAAUGCAUCAGAAGCACCAUUUCCUCAUGAAAACUCAUAUGUGACAAGUAUAUUAUAGAUAGUACUAAAGUAUUAUAGAUAGUACUACUGAAAACCACCCAUGUGAAACAGAGCUAAUGGCCUGCCUGCUUUUAAGCUUGACAGAUAAGGACUUCUUGAAGAGGAAGAGGCAUUGCAAAUCAAUCUUACUGUGUACCGACCCAUUAAGGAUCGUUGAGUUACAUUGGUUGCCUGCCGGUUGCAGAUGAGAUGUUGUUGACUCGGGCAGAGGGACUUCUACACCUUAAGCAGCCUUUCUAUUAACCACAGGAAAGGGUAAGAAAUGACAACGAUUCUAAUAGAGCGGGCCCCCUCUUUUCAUGUCAUUUGUAAGCGUAAGCGCGAAAGAAUGUUGUUGUAGAUAACUGUGCCACUAUGAAUGAUUCAAUUAAGAUGUAAUAUGUUAUAGAUUAUUCCAAAUUAUAUCAUAUGUAUCUCGUCCAUUAUAAGAAAAAGAUGUAAUAUGUUCAUAGAAUAGAUUAUUCCAAAUUAUUAUAUCAUAUGUAUCUCUUCCAUUAUAAGAAAAAGAAAGGGUACCGAUACCCACAUAUAAGAAAGAAUGUCGGCACCCACUAAACAUAUAGUAUUCAAUUAGAAUCCAGAUUAGGUAGUCCUGGCCAAGCAGACAAGUAACGACUUAUAUAGGCUUGGCGCUCUCUACUCAACUCUUAAGUAAGAAUGGCCAAAGAGCCAAGGAACGGAUAGACAAGCAACGGUACAAGCAAUUACGUAUUUUGAUUAGUUAUGAACAAGUCCCUUUUUUGGCCCCAACUCUAUCCUCUUGAUAAGCCUUAUUGUCUCCCGUGCCCACCUCAGUAGCGGUAAAGAGGUCUUUCUUCUUAAUCUUAUAAGAAAGAGGAAAUAAGAAACUAGAUGCUUAGGAGUUAAAGAAGCAGUUCGCAAGCCAUAUCGCAUAGGAAGAAAGCUGCAUGCCAAGAAGUGAAGCCGACCACCUCCCUUCGCACCAAAAGUGUUUCACUUAUGAACCGCCCCAACAAAUAAGGAUGAAACUUGGGAUUCCACAAUAAAUACUGAAUUAAGGAGCAGCUACGGGUAGCGGUAAGUAAACUCCAUUCUGAUUGUCUCCCUCGACAGCCUCCGCUUACCUAGCUUGCCCAGGGCUUGUCUACCUAUCUGCUUUCCUUGCCUUUGUAGCAAUCAAAUUCGUAUAGGAGCCGAUCCUUCUCCCUGUUACUGUUCUUGUUUAAUACCGAGUGAAAUCCAUGUACCAUAUAAUUGAUUCACUUUCCUUGUAGUAGAGUUCGGGAUACACCUAUUUGUUCUGUUCUUAAAGGCAGCAGUAAGGAGUUAUUGUUUGUGGAGUUCGCAAGUAAGUGACAGUUCCGCUCGAAAGAUAACUGUUUGAAGCUAAAGACUGUAUAGGCCCAACAAGUCGUGCUAAUGCAAGUUUCCCACGAGGCGAGAGAUUCUACUGUUUGACAAGGCGCUAACAGAGUUUCUACACGUAAGGAGGUAGCUGUGACAUAGCUUGUUUCAGAAUCCAUCUUCGUUUUCAGAGCAGGACAGGACAGGAUCGGGGAAGCUAAGCGCAAGACGUAUUAGCAAAAGGGCGUUGAAGCGGGGUCUGGUCUACUUAAGUUUCUUGUUCCGUUGCAUGUUAGCGAGUUAAUCAAGCCUUUUCCACAGUGCUAUUCGAGUCUCUUUGGCUUGCUCCUGCGCACAAGGUAAUAAUCAAUCAUUGACUUUAGUCUAGAGGCAAAUAACUCUGUAAGCCGAAAACAGUCAUGGAACUUGCCCGAACCUUUCUCUCUGUAAUAACGGAACUAGAUUCUUACUUGAACCCGACAGCGCUUGCAUCUGUACCGCCGCAAUACAAUCACCUCUCGAGUCUACUUUCCUGGAACUUAUUAUUAUGUUGAAACAGCAGCCUCUCCAGGUAAGGAAGCAAGCAAAGGGUAGUAGACCUAAAGUGCUUGUAUAGGUUGGUGCGCUAACGCGAGUUACGAAAGGAAAGGGGAAGUCAAGACAAGAGCAGAGCCAGCAGUCAGCUGGUUGUUUACUCCAUUCUCUAUUAGUGGGAACACAAGUGAGAUUCUCGUUCCCGCUCAAGUAAACUUAGCACCACUGCUUGCUUAUUAUUAAUGUAGUAUAUAGGACUCGUAUCAAGACUCAGUGCUCAAGGGAUAGUUGAGUUUCUCGAUGGUCAGUGAAAUUGUCAGCAGAAAAAGCAAUGAAUGGCUUUCGAACAGGCAAGAGUCAGCUGUGUUGUUACCGCUCCGUGGGCUAUCCGAACUCCCUUAACUUACAAAGGACAGAAACCAUUAGUAUACCAUUAGAGUUAAGUUUAAGCCAUCUUAAACCUUAGAGAAGCUGACCUAUGUUGCCACAACAAGAGCUCUUCUAACGCAUUGUUUACCUAAUAAUAGAAACCAAACCCUCUCUCUUGCUAAUACAGAUCUUGCGAACUCACUAACAAAUAGUCACUCGCGUAAGCCGAAAUGGGUACUUACGUCUUGCUCCCGAAAACACACGAUACUUGCUAACUUCUUAAUUGCGAGUAAAGACACAGCAACUACUUGUUCCUUCUGCCUUCGCAGCCGUGAUGACGCGGUUCUAAACAUUUCUACUGGAUCUCUUAUUUGCCUCCCGGAAUGCUAGUAUCAAAAAAAGACGAGUGCCUGACUUCGAGCCCAUAGAUCCAAAUCCAGAAGAAGCAUAUGAAUCUCGAGCUGCUUUUCAUUUCUAUCUUAUAUCGCGUGACAACUCCUCCUCCCCUUAUUUGUGAUUACUCCCUUGCCUUAAUAGAAAUUGGCUUCAUCAAUCAAGCCUUAUCCACUUACUGUCAUUCAUUGACUAAUAGCUUCCUCAGAGUCGGUUGGGGAGCUUCCUCAGAGUCGGUUGGGAAGGCGCUUAACCACAUCUUUUCCUACAUUCUUAAGUAGAGCAGAGCAGUAGAGUGGAAAGAUGCUCAUUAAGAGUAGAAAGAUGCUCAUGUUGUAUAUGUUGAGUAAUUUGAUUGAAAUCUAUUUCAUGUUGCCUUAGAUUAUAUUAUGACUUUAAUAAACACUGGCUCAGCUCACUACUGGAAAUAUCUAUCCAUAUAGAAAUUGAGAUCAUAAUGAGAAAGCAUUGGUAGGGUACUGCCUUGUCCGGAAUAGCAGGCCUGAUUGGAAUAACUCACGGAUUGGCUUGCCCUCCCGCACCGACCGACCUUAGUGGACAGACAAGAGAAAGAAUCCUGACUUAAUUAAUUACUGCAUCGCUUCUUAUGUAAUGGCAUUAAUAAGCUUGCAUUCCCUAUACAACUAAUGUAUAGUAUGGACAGAAAAGUGCCGACAUCAAUCUUCUAUUCAAGUCAAGUGCUAACGGAGCUUUGUAAGGAAGCAAUGGCCGUGUUUUUACACUCCAUUCUAUAUGGGAUAGCUAGCUCCCCUUCCAUUCUGUUCAUCAAAGUAAUCAAAGAAUAUUAGUAACAUAUAUAUAUUAGAAUAUGCAUCUUGAUUAUGGACUUGAUUCCGGAGUUUGUUGACUUUAUUCUUGAGUUGAUUCAGAAGUGUGUUUAGUUAUUCAUAUGAUUAAGGAGUUAGUUUACAUGGUUCUAUCUUAGGUGGAGAGUGAGUGAGUUGACUCUAUUCUAUCAGAUUGGACUUCUGAAACCAAUCCGUAGUUCACAGUCCGCAUUAACACUUGGGCUGAUAUCAUCAACCGUGCUAACCUUGGUAUGGAAGUAAUGCAUGAACGUAAUGCUCACAACUUCCCUCUAGACCUAACCUAGCUGACACCCACCUUCGUCCCUUCCAGCUUUGUAUCUCCCCCAUUGAGUCGUGCAAUAACAAUAAGGUCUCACAGGGAUUGGGACAAUAAUACAAAUUCCUGCACUGAUAAGGUGAGAAAGAAGACCAGAUUAGCCCUUAGGUCACUGAUACUAUAUCCCUGUCCUCAUACUAUCUUCUUCUCAGUUAGUUUGAGUUUCCGGUCUUUGCCUUAUCUCUCCGUAGCGUAAGAAAGGAUCUUAUUGUUUACCAUCCCUCCUUCCUGUUCAUCUACCUGCACAGGGUUAGUGCUAUUAUUGCAGCAGAUUCGCCAGUCGAAAAUCAUCCCCUUAUUUCUAUGUUGGUGGGUAGUGAGCUAUUGAUGUGGAUGGGCUUGAUGAGGAAUUCGAUGCCUGACCUCUGCCUGGUACCCAAAAAGCCUAUGCUUCUUCUACUCAUGUUCUACUACUUAUGACUCAUGUUCUACAACUUAUGUUAGUUAUGAAACUAUUGGAAGCUGUUAGUUAUGAAACUCUUUUAUGCUGCUACUAGUGCCACCGGCGUCGGGUAAACUUCUUCUACUCAUGUUCUACAACUUAUGUUAGUUAUGAAACUAUUGGAAGCUGCUACUAUAACUAUAACCGGUAGUAUUGUGCCCCCCAUCGCUGAUGUUGGUGCUGGGUCUUAAUCACGAACACGCAGUUUCAAUCUGGAUUAGUUGUGACGGCACAUCGAUUUCUCAAUCAACCCAAGCUUCCUUAUACUCAUAUUAUUGCAACUUACAGAAAACAUUUUUGAGAACCCGAAAGUCCAAACCAAGUUGUUCGAAUCUCCUAGAAAAUCUAUGCAUACCUUGUUCCCUACAUUUCCCCCGCUAACCGGUACUACAUUCGCAAACCAAUCCGGAUGAUGCAUGGGGGGCCUGUCUCGGUCUCAUUGAAAGGUGAAGUGCAAGCAAGCAAGUCAAGCCAAGCAGUACUAGAUAGAGUGUGGUGAUUCUUUAUUCUAUUGAGGUGUCUAUAUGAUCAUCUUAUGGAGAAAGGUCGGAUUCAAGAAGUCAAAGUAAACCAACGGGCGACAAUUAGAAGAGAGUAGAAGCUGGUGCAGGCGGUGCGAAGUACUCUUUCUUUUCGGAAUUCAUGGCUAGACCCUGUGCUUACCUAGAAAGUGGUAUGUAAGUAAGUCCACCUACGGCCAGGUUGUCCACCGGAUUAAGUCUGCUAAGAUGAACUCGGAUUUUGCUCCUUGCCUUCUUUAGGCCUCUUGAUUGCCUACGAAAGAGAAAUAGGGACAUCCUUUAUUGUUAAGAGCACCACUAGGAGUUCACCUGAUUCCUUUCUUACAGUGCAGGAGUGACCAUACUAGACAAGCAAAGUGUGACAAGCCGAAAUGAACAAGUAAUAAAACCAGUAGAGCAACAAACAGUAACAAAUCCUCUGUGCUAAGGGAGUAGGAGAACCUAUGUGCUAAGCAAGAAACCCGAGUUAAGGGAGUUCAGUGCAAAGGAGUUAAUAAAACCCAUCCUUUCAUUAAUGUUAACUAAUAAAUGGUUAUCCAUCAUUUUAUAUCCCUUCCCUAUUCUAAUCCGAUCCUGUUUUCGUCAACUAGAACGGAGACUGGCUAUUCAUUCUCGUCUACAAUACCACCGAGCUGGCUACUUCUCGUCUACAAUAUCACCGAGCUGGCUACUUCUCGUCUACAAUACCACCGAGCUGGCUACUUCACCUCUUAUUCUUGAUCGGACUAACGCUAUACACGAACAAAGGAACAAAAUACAGGUUACGAAGAAAGGACUGGAAAGAUGGGCGCGGGUAUACACUCUAAAUGAACUCCGUUAUUGCUACCGCUCUUUUAGCUCGCUACCGCCCAGUGUUUAACUCGCUAGUUGGAUUCUGUCUGGGUGAAGGGGCUAUCUGAUUCUUGGCCUACUUAGGGACAUUCUGAUCUUGUGGAUUAAGGCCUCAGGCUUGUUGGUACUGGUUGAAGGCUGGGCGGAUCUAGUUGAAGAGUAAGUGGCACUGGCUUGGUUCUGAGUACCUAACAGCACCAGGCUUAGUAUACCUAGCUCGGGUUGAAGUCUUUAACUACCUUGUUUCAGGCUGAGUCAUAUGAGUGGAAUUCUGAGUCUACCUCCAAAGCCUUCUACUUACUGGGCUGGGCGCAUUCUUGGACGAGUGAGUUGGAUUCUAAGAUUGACUGGUGGAAUUCUUAGCUUCUGGCUAGCUCCCCUCUUAGGGACAUUCUGUAAUUCCUUAUUGGCUCGGUGUUGCCUUAUAUACGAGUAGCAAUUCCAAUUCUGAAAUAACUUAUAUACGAGUAGCAAUUCCAAUUCCGAAAUAAGAUAUGAUAGGCCAAGCCGACUUCUCCUCUUACAACUAAUACUUCCUCUCCUCUGUAAACUAACGACUACUGAGUGCAAUUCUCACUUAAGAACUAUCACUGGGGAUUCCACUUCACCAAAACACGGGAAAAAGGUAGCAAACGGAUAAAGUGGUUGACUCUACAACUUACUAUAAGGGCUCUGGACUAGAGCAUAGCAUCUCUUCUACCUAUGGCAACAGUCAACUUCAUUGGUUCCCUUUCCACUCCCCUUAUAUAAAGCACCGACACAGUGUUCAAAACAUUCCAAUCGAAAUUCACUCUUAUUAUAUUAUUCUUAUCUUAUAUACGAUAUACGAAAAUAUACGAUGAUAUACGAAAACAAUAUUCUACGAAAACAUUCUUUUUUAUCUGACUUAUAUUAUACGAAAACAUUCUAUCUUUAUUAUACGAAACCGUUUACUCGUACUCAAAGAUAUUAUCACCCCCUAUGCCCUAACCUAAAAAAGGCACCCACAUCUAUUAUACCUCUUCAGGCGAGGCGCUCCGACCCCGCGCACUGCAUCGAUUCUCUAUCAGCCAAGCGAAAACUAGACACACCUAUAGCACCGAACUACUAGAGCAUAGCACCGGCACCAUUAACUAGAGCACCGAACUAUCACUUUUCGGACCUCUCUUAUCUUUCCUUCCCACGCCAACACACCCUACCUGGCUUUCUCACCAGGGCAGCUAUUGUCCAUCAGAAGUUUUCCUAUAUCACAAGAGAAGAUAGAAUUUCGGAUGAGACUCAGGCUAGGUAGCGAGCUAGAGGAACGGCAGGUUAGCUAGUCAAUUUCCGGAAGUCAACCAGAAUUACUAUAAGGGCCCCUUAACUAGACACAUGGCAAAACAGGACCCAUCCGCGGCACCCACAUCUCUUAUAGCGACACCCCCGGCACCCACAUCUUGAGUUUGAGCACCCGAAACGAACUCUUAUAAGUGUUAACCCCGAACCGAACCUACCUCUACUAUUAAUGACUAUCUUUUCCCUUGCAUUAGACCCCUUCUCUUCUUAUCCCUUGUUGGUGGUUUCAAAUAUACAGGUUCGGUGCUUUAGUGGUGGAGGCUCAUCCAUCUUUUCAUAACUAUUGAUUGCUCCAACAAGCAGACAGGCAAGUUACUACUAGUGUUGCGAAGAAUCUAGUGUACAGGUUUGUGACCCUAAUAUAUCAUAUAAUACCAGAGUUUCAUCCUUAUUAGUAAGUCAAGAUAGGGUUCAUGAAAAGCUAGUCAAAGAAAGAAACAAAGCUCUAUUAGUUUGAUAGGCAUGUUGUUUGAUAGGCAAUAGGCACAACUUACUAUAAGGAAGGGCUGGAACUGGCUAUUCCCCACGAGACUUCACUCGCAUUUAAAGAGAUUAUAAGCCCCUACCCCGUAACUACACACAUGGCAAAACAAGACCCGGCACCAGUGGAUUGGAUCUUAAGUCAACAAAUCAUGAAACUAGUGUCAACAGGGCUUUUGAAACACUGCCUCUACUGCCUCUGAUCCUGCCCCAUUUCUAUUCAAUACAAUACGCCCCGUAAACCUCCCUGGAUGCCAGCCCAUUCAUACUAAUUUAUGAGUAUUAAUUCCACUUCACUUUACUUUAAUGCUUUUGGCGACCACUACGCUGUAGAUGAAAAGUCAGGGUAAGCGGGAAAGAAAGCGCGCACAGGGUCCAGGGCAUCAUCUAGUCAUUUCUAUUAGUAAUCAGCGGAAUCAAGAUCUUGAUCGGGAUCUUAUUUCAGUGAAAAAGUAAGCUAAUGCGGAUUCGUCUCUUUCUUAUAGCUUUUCUCGUCGGACUUGCCCCUUACUUUGACUUACGCCUUUGCUUAGGAGCAAACCUUCUGCUUUCAUUUCAUCUUUUCUUUGGAGCGCUGGGUCAAUCCAAUCACCUUCCGCUACGGAAACUGGUCAUUAUGCUACUGAAACUGAUCUAACUGGCUGUCUUUUCGCUUUAAUCACUCGUAUCGGGACCUCAAAUCCAAGAGUAAGCUAAUGCACCCGGUCAAAAGCCCUUUACUCUACUCCCUUGCCUUAACAGAAACCUUUGUAUGCCAUGCCCCCUUGCUUGACAGAUCUAUUUAUAUCCUUAUUCCUCACCUGGCACUGUUCCUUACUCUACCAAAACAAGGUGGUUUCGAGAGCUGGAUAAGAAUAUCUUACUGGGGCAAGGAAGCAAGGUUAAGCGGAGAAUUGCCGGAUUCUGAUUACUCUAAAGGGACGGGAGUUGACAAUGAAUGGGGCCUAUACCUAUAAAGAAUUCAAUUCGAACAUACAAAGGGUGCGGCGCAUAAGGCUCUUGCCCGACCCCUCAACUCAUAAGUACGAAUUGCACUUACCCCCGGGGAAACGGAAUCCGUAGUGGAAUACAGAUCCUUAGCUGGAUGGAUAAGAGUCAAAAGCUAUAUCCUGAGUAGGAACCAUAUCUGAUGCUAGAAGCUCCGUUUUCGAGUAAGGAUAAAGGAGUUCUGGUGUUGGCGCAAGUACAAAUACAGGUGUUUCAAUUCAAUAAACAGGAUCAGAAGUGUUACCAACGAAGUAAGUCACAACAUAUUCUAUAUUCUUGGAUUUGUCAGUUCAAUUCCAUUAUCACUUUGCGAAGGUUAGUUUACAACCCGUAGACAAAGUACGUUUUGAAGCAAAGCUCUUAGGUUCCUCUAUGACUUCUUUCUAUAAUUGGAGAGCUAGAACACUAAAUGAGAAAUUCCAUCAUGUUGCACAAGCAGUUCACAACAAGCAAUCUGAUAGACUAACAUGUGCUCGAUAAUCAAUUGAUUUAUUGGUUGACUGGCCCUACUGCUCGAAGUACUGAUUGGAAACCAACCUCUUGUUAAUGCGCGAAGGAGUGUACUGUUACUGACACCUAGAUACUCAACGUGGAAUCCAAUCUUUCUUGUUUAUUUCGGGCCUAUUUCAGUUGAAGACUGGUCCAGACUUAUUAAUUGUUGCGAUAGCAGUAGCAAGUAAAUAACCCCUCUAAACUUCACUUCUAGCUUCUAAACUGACUCCCGAAACAGGACUAGUUGGGCCUGAUCCAUAUCCUUAUGCUUAUCCUGUUUUAAAUCCUGUUGCCAAUGCCAUUAACUUCAGGGCAGAACCCAUCUCCUCUCCACUAGUUCUUGCCCCAACAUUAGCUUCAUCUUUCGAUCGACGAACAGAACAAGUAUGAAGUAAAGAUACGCUUGCUGCUGAUUAAGUCCAGGGCAAAGCUACUACUAGACAAGAAUUGACCUGCUACAACUCAAAUGUACGGUUAAAGAGAUUCAAAAGUCAGCAUUAGUGAGGGCGGCUAAUAGCUCUGCAGAAGUAUCCAGUCAGCGGGACAGAAAGAAGGAUAAAGGUAAGAAUCGACUGCCCUCUUCCUUGCGCCUGUAGCAUGAUAAAACGGAUCUGAUAUCGUUGACUUGAAUGGAGCCUUUGAUACAGAAGAAUCACCUGAAAGCAGGACUUCCUCCUAUCCGAACUCUCUAAUACUGGACUUGUAAUAACUUCCACAAAGAGACCGGACCGGCCUUACUGUACCUUAGCGUAUUCUUAGUAGUACUUGUAUCAAUCAAACUUCCCCUGUUACCUUACAUCCUGACUAUCCUCCAUAUCCGUCCAACACUCCUGACUUCCAGUCCUAUGUUAGAGAGUUUACCCUGAAACUUCUUUCUUUUAGCCUUAAGCCCCUAGCUCCAACUCGCCCAAACCUAUCUAUUUAUACGAUGAUUCUUUUAUGAUAUAGUAGUAGUGAUAAGAGGAUAGCGCAUCCAGUAAUAGACUCAGAAUUCGAAUAUUAAGCACCAGAAAUAGACUCAUAAUAGUACCCUCGACAAGCAACAGGGCAAGCAACGUGUAUAAAACGAAAACUGCUAUACCAUCCUGAACUCUGAAACUAAUAUCUAUAAUGAUUACUAUCCUGUCCUAAAGUCUGGGGAUGCGCCCAAAGAGCUUAUACUUACCAUAUCAAUGCCUAUGCCCCGCUUUCAGGCUUACUUUCUACUUUGAUCUUGACUUUGGUUAGUCACCAGCCAAGUGCUCUUACCGUACUACUUGCGAGUUAUCUUCUUUAUUCAUAUAGAAAUUCCAAUACUCAUGAGUGUAAUUCCGCCCUUCAAACCAGGGUUCCAACCUAGGACUCAUUCCUAUACAACCUCAUUCCUGUACUACUAAGUUGAGUUAUGUUACUUACGCCUCUUAGCCCUAGACUUGAGAGGAGCACUCGAGAGCUUAAUAAUGAUGCUAUAGCUUCAAACCAACAACUCUUCCUUGUAUUCUUUAUUACUUAUUUGGAUUCUCCGCCUUACUUGGUAGAUUCUCUCAUUGCACGCUUUUGCAUUCCCUUAAUCACUAGUGUCAUUCCCGGGCUACUAAGUUGGAUUCUCACUUUUGUUAGUUAGUUCUGACUUCUGUGUUGUUAGUUGAGUUCUUACUAAAACCUCUAAUACUCUUUUCUGGAGUUAUAGGACCCAGUGUUUCAGUUUGCCUAGGAAGGGCAGAGACAAGUCACUGACAAGCUAGAGUGGAAGAGGCGAGUAGAAGGCUAAAUCAACAAGCAAUACUUUAAGAAAGGAGUCAGGAUGCUAAGUUUAAGGAAUAAAGAGAAAGAGGAUCGAUAGUGGAAUACGUUAACUCAAAAGCAAGGAUGCAACUAACGAGUAAGGAUUAGACUGCCGAGGACAUUUAUGAUUCCGCACCCGAUGCUCUCUUACCUAGCUCCGUUAUUAUACUAAUGUAAUGGAUUGAGUUCCAACUUAUGUGUUUCAUUAUUGACUUACUACUAUAGGUCUUAUAAUGCCAUAGAUCAUGUUAUACUACCUUAGUCUUAUAGCUCUGAUGCGUUAUACUUCUUAUCAUGAAUAGCCAGGGUAAGUAAUCAAACCAACAAGUAAGGCUUGUGAAAUACGAGAGCGGAACAAGGCUUUGCUACUGUAAGUGAAUUCUGUCCUAUCCGAACAAGGGUUCCUAUCCCUAACGAUGAGGCCCUUCUUUCCUUCUUUGACUCCUUAUUCCUAGUAUCGAGUUCGGUUCGGGAAGGUAAGUUUAGAGGUAUAGUUCGGGAAGGUAAGUUUUCAGAAAGAAAGUAAGGAAGGGGGCGCUUAGAUGUCAAGGGCAGAGUGAAAUACAUAAGAUAAUGCUUGUAUUAAUAUCAGUUUGUAGAAGAAGAAGAAGGAAUUGAAUAAGUCAGAAUAAAGCGGGAAAGGGAGACUCCCACUGGUACAUAGGACCCGGAUCAGCAGUUAAGUUAAGGAAUCCCUAUAAGUCAUGAAAGAACCAAAGACUGGAACUGGAGACUCGUAGGCCGUAAGGAAAGUAAGCCAUAACCUCAUAAGCCCCGAUUAGAUUCAGUAGUAGCAGGCCUCUAGUUGGUAGUGGCAGGCCUAUAGUUAGUAUAGUUGGGUACGCUAGACCAUAACUAUAUUCUUUAUCCCCCAGAGGUUGAUUCUUUGGCCGAGUUGUUCAAUAUCCUGCAUUUUCCCGAUAGAGGUCUUUUCUACUGCACCAUAGAUCCACUUAUUCUUAUUAAAUAGUUGGAUUCUCGCUCUACUGCCCGAGAGAACUAGUUGGCUUGUUAAGGUAUUGCCAACCCGGAGAAAUUCCAACUUAGUUGCGAAAGAAUCAAUCCAGUAAUAAAGAAUAGAAGCAUCGAUAAAAAGAGACGAGUAGCUACUAGGCGCCAAGCUACUACUUAAAGUGAGAAUGGAGCUGGUGUCGUUUAACUCGCUACCGUUUAGCUCAGACUCCUACCGCCCCGAACACAGGACUUGGUAAUAACAGCUCGCUACUGCCCAGAACACAGGACAUGACUUGGUUCUAACUCAUACUAACACCGGCUAGUACUAUACAGUUGAAAACAUUCCUUCCAAUUCUUCCUAUUCGAAUCUUUCUCUUAUUAUAGGAAAACACUAAAGUGACUCCUAGGGCUACUAAUACUGUUAGGGCUCUGGACUACUCUCCUAUUUUAUUAACUCUUUCACUCCCUAGUUAUGAACUCCCUUCCCUGAGACCGAGUCAACUAAUACGGAUGAAACUACUCGUAUACAAGUUUGGGAUUCCACUGGAACAAGAGCAGUACUAUACGAGUACUACCUGUCUUCAACUCACACUCGACAAACUAGAACAGCCCCGAUUGCUGCUGUCAACUAUCAUACCUAUGACAACAGGCUCCCGUUAGCUCACUUAGUGUUUAUUACCUAAUCUCUCUCCUCUGGCUCUGGCUCAUCUACCGAAGUCAACUAAUGGGGUAGUGUUGUUGACUUACUUGUUGGGGAUGAAACUCUGACAACGGAUUCAAGGGGCUCCUGCCGCCUUCCCGCUCGCUACCGUUUUCACUCUAACUCCUACCGCGCCUAGAUCGGCUUGGUCGUUAGUAGUGGCUUGGUCAUUAGAAGUUGCUUGGCCCCCUUUCUGAUUACCUGGACAAGCAUACUCGCUACCACUCCACUACACCUCUGAUUCCACUGGACUACUACUUGGAGGGUUAGACUUUAGACCAUCAUUUCUAUACACUCAAAUUCAGUAUUUCGAAUAUGGAGCUGUUUUUCAUGUGAUUUACCAUUCCACUAAGAAACUGUCCUUAGAAGUCAUUUCUUCCUAACAUCUUGAGGGUUCAGUUGUAGGUGCAGCUACCUCUAAUUCUCUAGUAACCCACUUCUAUAGGACCAGACCACUACUUGUAAACUGAGCCUAGCCUCCUUCCUCCUUGCAAAGAAAUAUGUAUUUACCCCGACCCGCACUCGACUUCUUUCCCUGCUCUUUAUUCCCCAACUGCAUCUUAUCUGAGUCUAACUUUAAUACACCAAUUAUCAUUCUAUUGGCUCCGCCUUUCCAUACCUAGGCUAUUGACUACACCCGAAACUCUGUCUGUCCUUCCCGCUUAUCUAUCUUAUUGAACUCACUCCUAAGCUUCCCUAUCUUAUGAAUCUGCUCCUUCACUCGAGCAGGACUACAGAUCUUAUGGAUUCAAUAAGAGCAAGAACCGGUACCUCGAAUCUACCUAAGGCUACUAAUACUUAUUGCCCUGGAAACAGGAUAUUCUCUAACUAAGGUAAAGGUCAAGUCAGAUGAGCUACAACUACAAAGGCAAGGAGACAAGCAGAGCGUGACAAGCAGACUUAGGCGCGUAAGUGAGUUACCCAGACAAGUAACAACUACUAACUGGCAGCUUAAGCACUAACUUAGUUCAAUUCAAACUUUCACUACAGAGUUGUGCCUAGUAGGGGUAUGGGUGGGCGUGUCAUAGAAGAUGUCAAACUUCGGUAGUACUGAAUGAGGCUCCUAUAACUUCAUUCUUAAAACACAUAGCAAGUAGACCUACUAACCACUGGGCCAAGAGAUUCAUUCCAUUCCUACUACUAAUGCUUCUUUUCUAUCUCCUACUCAGGAUAUCCCUAACGACACUCCGCUGGCUACUAGCUAAUCUCUCCCCUCUGUAAACUAAUACUUUUCUUGCUCUGGACUACUCUACUACUUGUUUGUAUUGAUUCUGGUUCGAACUAGCAGCCCUUUAGGCACUACUUACUAUGUAGCUUGGCGCUUCACUUUAUCACCCGAACAGCCUAUGAUCUAUAAUACCUGGCUGGCACUCGACCUCCCCUAAUACUUGUUCCACUGGGCUGGGCUCGCUUACCAAAGAACUCAACUCAGCAGUCAAAGGAGCUACACUAAGAAUUCCACCAAUAAGGCUAAGAACGCAACCACUACUAAUAAGAAAGAAACAAGUCAGUCUCCUCUACUAGAUGUGGGUUUCCAGUCAUAGGUCUAAUUCUUAUUUCCUAUCAUCUGUUUUCCUAUCAUCAGUUAUCAUAUAUAAAGAGAAUAUAUAAUUUAGUAGGGGGCCAAGUAACUACUAGACAAGACGGCAAGCAACCACAGUACUGGUAAAAGCCCUGCCCUCGUAUUGGAAUUAAAACAAGCCUACCCNNNNNNNNNNNNNNNNNNNNNNNNNNNNNNNNNNNNNNNNNNNNNNNNNNNNNNNNNNNNNNGCCAAUCAACUAAGGAUGCAACAGGACAACCACUAGUUUCAGGGUAAAACUAUACCUCUCCUCUUUAAACAAAUACUUCCUAGCCUCUGGUAAAGCACCAAACCUAUCUCUACCCUUACACCUCAAGUAGGAUAACUGAUGAAACUCCCCUUGAAACAAAUCAUUCCAAUAAGAGAUUUCACUCAGCCAACUGACUAUAAGGGCCUAUCCUCUUGUUCAUCUAACUUAGCAAGUGGGCGCGGCAUACAAUCAGUUCACCUGGUUUCGUUCUUAAACUACCUAGCUCAAUCCUCUGAGGGGCAGUGGUUGUACUCAACAAGCAACUUAUAAUGUAUAGCGGUAGAGAGUUGGGGCUUACUUGUUUCAUUCUGUCUUCUGAGUUGGUCUCCCUAGCUUCCCUCUAUCUAUCCCUCUGGCAACAAUCCCUUCAUUCUGACUUGUUUACUACCGAGGAUUUACUACCCUGGACAGGCGAACAUAGGACUUGUUUAUAAACUGAUUCAACUACUCCACUCAGGCAACAGAUACCUGUGGUCGUCACUAUUUGCUAUAAAUAAGAGGAAUGUGCUAUCUCGUACCUGAGAAAUAAGAGGAAUGUGCUAUCUCGUACCGGAGUCCAAUCUCUUCUCUGACCAGUGAGUUCAACCACACCCCAACUAGUAAGUAACUGAGACUACCCGAGCCUAGCCCCUCAUAAAGCCUGUAACUACUUAGGUCAAUUCUGAGUCUAUACCCCAGCUACCCUUGCUUGCAUUCUUAUACUCAUUGGUUUCAUCCUAUCUCUACCCCGCUUCAGUCCCAUACUACAUAGCUUCAGGCUUGACUGUCCCUGUUUGGUUCUGUGAGUUAGUAGUUGCAUUCCGGUUGGCACUGCUUUAAGGCUCUCACUAUCGAUCACCCUACACAUCAGUAUGUCCUUACUUAACCUAAUUCUUUAGCUGAAUAAACUAGAUCUCUUUGAUUUCUGGGGGUGCGUUAAUAGUCAAAGAGCAGCACAACCCUUUUACUUGUCAGCUACAUCUCCUCUCUCCUUGGUGAAAACUGGAACUACUGAUCUCACGUGCCUAGCUGAAGUAUUCUACUUCUAUGUCUCGGAGGCUAACUCUGCCAUUACUGACUGGGAUUCUUUAACCAACGAUACUGAUCCUUUCACUAAUUACUAUGAGCUUGCCUUUACUUGCUUAGAGCCUUGCUUGGUGCUCUGACUAUCUAUCCAGUUGCAAACUGACACUAGUACUUCUAUGAUACUUGAAAUCGAUAGUAGGAAAUCAACUCUACACUGGGAAUGGAACGUAGACUCAAAAGGCGAACCUCCCCCGUACUUCUAUUCUCUAACUAAUGAUCCCAAGGCUUACUCCCUCUCCUCUCUGACAACCCUCAAGCUACCUCUCUUUGUUUUCAUUCUAUCCGUCCCUGCUUCCAGUCUCUAUGUUGUUCCUCGAACCUUACUAUCCCGCCUUUCUAGCCUUACAUGACUUUCUCUAGUUCUGGGUAUGAUCAUCUACUGAUAGAUAUAUAGGUCUAAGAGCACUAGCAAUAAGAAUAAGUAUAUUAACUGGGAAAUAGAAACAAACUCGGUAUUAUAAGAAGUGAGCGCUACACUAAUGAUUAAGCUUUCACUGCUGGAGUCAAACCUUGCUCCCAGCCCCCCUGCCCUUGUCUCUAACCGGUUUCUCAGCCUUACUUUACUUAUUUCAAGUCUUUAGUUCACUGUGGAGCUGCCAUUACUAAAUCUCAUUCUAGCUAUCGCCCCUUCUUCCACUGUUUAGUUAAAGUCUUGCCUUCCUGCCUAUUAGUCUGAAUGCCUUGUCUACUGUUCUUUGACUACUGCCAGCUAAGGCUGCCCUUGCUUUACGUUCUGUUAGCUGUGCUUUUCUUUCUUCUACUGCUACUAUAGGCCUGUAACUACUGAUAGAAAUUCUCCUUCGAUUGAUGCAAACUGCCACGGCUUACAAACAUGACCCUUAUAGUGGGUUUCAACAAAUACUCCUGUCUGUUAGCCUGCCUUUACUUACCCAUAUGCUUUAACAAUAACUACGGAUUCGGAUCCUUAGGCUUACUACCACAACUACUAACUAUAGGACUAAGUAAAAGAAACAUGGAAUCGAACACAGAAAUCAGAAGAAACUGGGUCAGCUAACAAGAAUGCAAUAGUACUCAAAAAACCUAUAGACGAGAACUCAACACUAGUCAUUUCAUAAUGAAGUAAUAACCACUAGCGGGAGGAGCGAGGUGUAAGAAUCCAGUAGUGCUAACAAGAUUCCAACAAGAAUACACUGGCAUAGGCUAGUAUACUAAUGGAUCAAACUCUGUAGUAUCCGCCCUUACCCGACCAGGGCAAGAGAAGAGAGAAAUCAACUCAUUAGUGUCGGAAUGAGUGUGCGGGGGCACUGAUUAGUCACAGAAUUGAGGAUAAGAUAAGGAAUUCUAUUAUCGGUUCCCUAGCUCUCAAGUAGUAACAUAUCCCUAGCUCUCAUCAAGUAGUAAAUACAGAGUGCUAUAAGUCGUCUAAGAAGUUAGGGCGUGUGUGGAGAACCUCCGCGCUACGUUAGUAUACGCUUUGCCGUUGCUUGGCCCCGAAAACCUUACUUAUUGAGUCAAGUCACACAGCAAAAGAUUGAAGCGCUGAAGCCAAAAUAAGCAGUUAAGGCCGACUACAUGCUUAAGUAGGUUGUAGCUCCUAGCUUAGAAAGAGGGAAUUAUGCUUGUGUCUAAGGCUUUUGUUUCCCAUAUCGUUUCUAGCGUCGUUAUGCUCCUUGUCAUAGAGUUCUGUUCUUGUGUUGUCGUAGAUAUCAGCCUAAUCUCUUUUUCAUGCUAAGAUUAAGACAAGGCCCGCUACUGGGUUAAGUGGAAAGCUAGUGUCUAUACUCACUCGCCCUUUGUUCCUUACGUGGGUUUCAAUUGAAAUAGACGAAAGGUUUAGACGAUACCGCUUGCUUACUUUGUUUCCGGGUGGGGUGGGCAGUCAAUUCGAACUUUCCUACUUGCCUACCUCGACUCUUCUCUGGCGAAUGAUUCUCUUAUUUGACCCCUAUUGCUCUCAUCUCAUCCAAAUCCCACUCAGGCAACCAUCACUCUUAUCUGGCUCAGAUACUUCUAUCAGCUCUGUUCUUGCCUCCAUCUCACUUGCUCUAGUACUAUUGCUUUGCCAAUUGAACUGACACUGCAUGGUCAACAACUCCCUUAUCGUUUGCUGCUGACGACUACUUCACCUACCUCGACUUAAUGCUCUUUUGACUCAGUUAGUGCUGAAGAAGCCCAAACACAGUACUUAUGCACCCAGGUAAAGCUUCAAUUGCAUCUCAUAACUCGUUGUCGGCUUGUCUAGCUUAACUCACUGACGCCGAAGACAUAACUUGGAAUAACAAAUUCUGUAAAGUUCUUUGCUUCUUUAUUGGAAUAAGGGGGCCUGGCCUUGGAAAAGUAUUACCAUUGUGCUGCUACAGAAAGAGAAAACCAUGGAGAAAAUCGAAAUAGAAACCAUCUUUUUGAGACCCUAAUAAACCACUCUAUUUGCUCAUAUAAAAUAACUGAAUGGGCACCCCGAGGAGCGGCUCUGAAUUGAACUUAUUGGUGGAAGCCUAUGAACCGCGGCGAACAGACUCAUUGUGGUAGUGGUGGUUACUUGUCUCUUUGACUUUGCCCAGUUGUUCUUACUUCUGAGUGGAAUUCCCUAAGUACGCUUCCAGCAUGGGAGGAAGCAUUGCAGUAGGGCAGGGCAAAGAAUCCAAAGGAUAACCCAUUAAUAGUUUCAUUGUGACUUAAGAGUAGGAUUCCCACUUGAUGGUUUGAUUCUCACUUUAACAGAAUGAAAGCAUCAUCAAUACAGAAUGCAAGCACUGCCAAUAAAGAGUUGAAGUCAUUAGUGAAAGAGUCAAAAGCUGUGCAACUCACUACCGCUGAAAACUGGAGGAGAUCGAGGUUGAGGCACGAAAGGCACGAUUCCGGCUUUGCUCCCCGGGGAGCGGGCAAGGCUUCGGGUUUACCUGGUGAUAAUAAAUAAGGUUGCGUUUUAUUCCCAUAGUAGUAGCUAAGUUCAUCGACCGCAGACGAAGGUACGGGCACCCGGCCCAAGAAGAAUGAUGUUGACUUAUAAUAAUUAUGUUGACCAAGAAGAAUGAUGUUGACUUUUGGCACCGGCACAAACACACCUCGUAGUACGGGAGAAACUCACACAUAUAGAGCCGGGCAUGCACUUAAUUCUUCAAGUAACACAACAAAACUCUUCGGGGAUCAUUGGACAUCAACACCGGCAAUGGUGUCGACACAACGUUCAUUGGGCGGACUCCCGGGGCACUCGCACAGUCUUUCUUUUAGCAACCAUUCAGUAAUUCUUCGUUCGUUCUGUAGUGAAUCCACCUCAUUGUUAUAGCUCCGAUGUGCCCAAUCAGUCUUGCAGGUGGGGGAACCCAAUAAUUCAGUGAACGGACCCCCGUGAUGGUGCGUUUUGUUCAACGUCGAUGAGCGGUCGUUCGUGCAUCGAUGGUCCUAGGGCAUAGAAGGUAGUACCUCGGCCAUUCUUCGAUUAGCAUCGCCCAGUAAUAGAAGGUAUAUCGCACAUUGGACAUUAAUGAUAGAAUUCUUGAUUAUUGAUAUGAUUCUGUUUACUUAUAUUGAUUAUAUUGGAGAUAUGUGUUUUUAUAUGAUAUUUGAUUAGUGUUUUCCUAUAGUGGGUUCAUGCUCUUAUGCCCGGUUUCGAUUCUUUGUAUUACUGGUAAAUUCUUUGAAACCAUAUUCUACUACUCAGGCGCUGUAUUCGUAAUCAUAUAUUCUACUAAUACUUAGUUACAUACUGGAUGCACUAGAUCAUACCCAUUUCUGUUCAUAGUUUAGAGCAGCUUAGCUUGACUUUCUUCUUGCUUUUCGCCAUUCCUAUUACUUUUCAUCAUUAGUAUUAAUAUGCUCCCCACACUGCCGGUAUCCCUACUUUUGUGUUUGAUUCCCUCCGAUCCGAUGCCCCAUCCUUUGACUUACUUGUUUGAUUCCCUUUCUCUUAUUCCAUUCUUUUAGUAGUGGCAGGAGUCCUAGAAGCAGUAAAGCAAGGCUAAAAGACGGGAAAGGAAGACUCUGAGGCGCACAUAGGAGCUGAAGGAGCAAAUACAGAUGUGAUAUCUAAAUAGUAAGCAAAUACAGAUGUGAUAUUACCUUAAUAGUCAGAGUCAAAGGUUCUAGUUUGCCUCUCAUCUUUGUACGCACUAGCUAUUAUGUAUUAUGGCCUAUGCUUAGUAUGCCCUAGCUCAAAACCCCUUCCUGAACCGCUUACUACCUUUGUUAUGUUUGUUUUCAUUCCCUUACUUACUUGUAUUACUCUUGACUUCCAAAUGAACUCUUAUACUGCUUAGAACCAUUCUAUUACCCUCAUUCCAAGUUGCGGGUUAAAGUACUGUUAGCAACUUAGUCUUUUCUUACUUGGUUUCAUUCUAAGAUUGACUGGUUUCAUUCUCACUUGACUACUGGCUCUGUUACUGACUCGUUCUAUUCUUGGAUUUACUGGUUCAAUUCAUAGGUCUAACUGUAACUCAAUCGGGGCCAUUCUUAUACUUACUGGUUGGAUUCUUUCUAUUGUUAUAGGGUGGGUGGUUCUUUGUUUCUAGUUGAGUACUGGUAGCACUAUUCCCAGUUUGCUUCUUUGUCCAGAGUAUUCCAAAGAAUGGGAUUGGUGCUUUCAUUCCCUUAUUACAAACUAAGUUAGAUCCUCUGUCGCCGGUACGAGGCCUUAAAAGCACUAGUUCAACUCGUUAGUAUAGCUAGUCUUAUGUCGGAUUGUAGAAGACCGCUAAGUAAGAUGUUAGUGAAAUUCGGAUAGUAUAACUUGUUUCGUCGCUAAGUAGUAGCUUGGCCGUACUUAUGCUCUAAACUCACUCUUCCCCCACGGAACUAGAAACCUGCUAUACCUGGGCGCCUAGCCUUUCUUUGCUUACCAUCAGUCUGUCUCACUGCCUCAAUAAACACAUUCCCAAUAACAUGUCGAUUAGCCUGUCCUUGCUUACUACGAUUCUUACAAUUAUAUGUUACUAUUAUAUGUUAUUAUCCACAAUUCAAGUCUAUUCUCUUGAACGAUAUAUCAGUUGUGCGGGAACGAUAUAUCAGUUGUGCGGUUGUGAAGUAGCCAUCAUUCUAUUAAGUCAACUUCAUUCUGAUUACCAACCUAUACCUUUCAGCGCCAACACACACUGCAAACUAUAUCCCCAUAGCCAAUAGUACUCUCGAACUUCAAAAGCAAGAAUAUAUCCUUCAAUAAAGAAUAGAGGUAAUAAAUAAGAGGAAGACGGUGGAAUUACUAUAAGAAAACACAUGACAUGCUACUAUGACUAUUAUGAGAAACUCAAACUCUUUAACUGCAACUGAUGGGCCUGUCAGUACUGUCUCUUAGCCGUAUGCUACUUCCCUACAUGCUUUAUCUAAUGAUCUGGGUCCGACCUACCUGUUUUAGUCUACUGCUAUUUGCUUUCGAGCUGAACUACUAACUAGUGAAUCAAACUACUAUCUAUGAGAAUGAAUCAACUAAAGGGGGGAAAUUCUGAGAAUGGAACUGCACCUAGCAGGAUUCGGACUUGUACAAACAAGAGUACAACUCGCACCGAUAAGAUGUUAUCACACCGAUAAGAUGCUAUCACACCGAUAAGAUGUUAACCACUAGUUUACCACUAAUAUAAGAAUCGACUACUCUAGAAUCAGAGAAAAAAUACCGACUCACCAGACUGACUAUCCUUUCUGUCAGGCUUACCUGCCUUGCCUUAACUCCAGCUCCAUCUUUACUUUUUUCUUGUACAACUGGGCAUCGGCCUAUCCUUUUACCAAUACAACUAAGGACGGAACUCCAGCCUAGGAAUAUGGAGUAGGAUAAUCAAACAAAGAACACGGGACUCAACUCAGUGAACUAAACUAUAGACUGGGAAUUACCCCGCUGAUAACAAGGCGAAGGUACUUGUUCGGGAAUCCUAAUCCAUUAAGGAAGAACCCAGCUACUUACUAUGAGAACUAAGCUCAACUCAGUGAACUAAACUAUCUACCUUGACGAAAACGAGUACUCCGAUCUACCAGGCUUACUUUGCUGCCUAACAGCCUUACCCUUAUUCACAUCAAGCUAUCUCUCCCGGCUUGGAUUCUGAUUUGCCGCUCUGGAUCUUGCUUAUAUCUUUUUGAAACGAAAACUCCAGUCUCAGAUCCUUACUCUCUAGGUAACCGACCUAUGCGUUUAUCUUACGUUCCAUUCUCUUAUUGCAAACUGACAAAACUACUCAAAAUAAUCUCACUACCGUGGAAAAGACAGACCAAACCUGGUGCCCUAAUGCUUAAACUCAAAAAGAGGAAUCCAUCACCUGGGGCAUGAGAUCAAACGACUAUAAUAGUAGGGGGGCGCCUCUACUACUGCUAAUACGAGAACUCAACACUUGGUAUGGCAACUUUCACUCUUUGACUCCUUGGGUUGAUUCUCUCUCUACUGAGCCGUAUCCUGAUCUGCUGGCUCGAAAGCACAUACUAUACUUGUUUAUUCCCCAGCUUUUCUUUCUUUAACAGCAAACUUCAAUUCUGUGACUGCUGAUCCAGAUCCUAUGUUCUAUAUUAAUCCUAUGAUAAGGAAUAGAAGGGUAACUCCGAAGAACACUUGCCGUACCUUUAAGAGAGCCGGGAAACCAACUACUGACUUGGGUUCUUUCGCUACUGAUAUAAAAGCUGUAUCUAUUGAUUCAACCUGGCACUACUAUCUUUGAUUCUUUAAAUCAGAAAUAAGAUGCUUACUUGCUUUCUUUAUCCCGGGUUCAAGUCCGUUUGUCUGUAGUAGCAUAAUAAUAGUAGUUCUACCUAUUCUCUUCUAAUAAUAAUAGAAUUAAUGAACUGAGUUAUAUCUUGAAUCUUGGCAUACCGAUCCUAAAUCUAAUCCCUGUAAGUUGUUCCUCUUUAUUCCUAUGUGAAAGUUGAGGCCUGCCUACCCUACCUUCCAUUCUUUAGCUUCUUUUACUGCAAUUCUGACUUGCAAACCUACGCUUCUGCCUUUCAAGUUGUAGAUGACGAACUAGAAGACGAAGCAAGUGGAUAGUAAGAUAAAACAUAAACGGAGGAGCUCAAUGCAUUAGUAACAGAAUAGCCAGUGAUCCAAACUCGGAGGAAUUAACACACCUAGAAGAAUAGCUCCCCAAGCCCUAUCUCUAAACUGACCUUCUAGAAACUAUACCUCUGAUUCUUCUUUUGCAUUUCCAAUCUCCACCCUUUCAUUCCUAUACUUAUAAUACAGAAUAGAAAGAACACUGCCUGGCAAGGUUUCACUACUCUUCUUAUAGACUCAAAACACUGAUCCGGAUCCUCUAUUAUUCUGAUAUUGAUUCUCUUACUCGCUUGUCUCAAACUAACAACAGUGCCUAAAGGGCUAUAGCUAUAGUGCCCCUAAGCCUAAUCUCCAUAAAGAGGAAUUGAACCACUGCUAACAGGACUCUCACAGGAACCCCGGAAAAAAGUGACUACUGAUUGAUGGGGACUAAACUCAAAAAAGGUAAUGAAACUCAUAUAGGAAAAAGAAUCCAAAAGGGUAAUUAAGUAAACACAUACCUAAACACAGAAGUAAGGAUACGGCGGUAAGCUCAAUGUAAGAUAUCUGUUUUUUGUUAGGGUUAUAUUCCUUAUGCGCUGUAUUCUCGUACCUCUUGCCCCAGCUGUUAGGUCUUAGCCUACUGAGUGAAAAUCCAUAUUCUUUGUUCAAUUAUGACUUUCAAGUUCAGGUUCUAUUGCUUGGUUAUCCGUAGGUCGGUUCUAUUGCUGUAUAUGCUAUAUCUCACUAUUUACUAAGAAAGAGAGUAAACCAGAGCAGAGCAGGCUCAUAGGUGAAAUACAUAAUGAGUUGGGCAAGGGGGCACACCAAGACACGGAUAGACAAGUAAGCGACGUAAGGACAAGUCAAAGUCUGUAAAUAAGGAUAGUUAGAAUCAGAGACAUGAACAGAAAGCCCAGAGCAAGGAGGGGAUUCAGAUCAACCCCAAUUGCUAUACGGAACGGAACCACCAUACUAUUGACAGCGCCCAUGCUAUUAUUAGAAGAUAGUUUACUCAGUGCCAAUGCUAUUAUGACUUUGGACAGUUCCAAUGCUAUUCGGACUUGGGAGUUGGGGUGGAGGAGAGGGAAAGGGCAGUAGUACGCCGCAACUGAUCUAUCGUUCACUGAAAUAGAAACUACCUUUACUCCUAUGGUAGAAGCAAAUACGAAUAAAACACUAAGAAAAUAGAAUAUAAGAACACACAUAUCAAUAGAAGUUAACAGAAUAACGAUAGUAGUACUCAAACAAAGGAGUAGCAGAGUUUACCUUCACACAUAACACUAAUUGGCAGGAAUGCAAGGUGAUUAUAGGAGUAGUUCAAGUAUGAGAAGCGUUAGCGACCCUAAGCAAAGGCUUGGUUUGGAAUACCUACAUGGAUAGUAAGAUUCUUCUGCCGGUAGGUAAGAUUGACUACCAAACGAGUAAGAUUAACUACCUAACAAGUAAGAUUAACUACCUGGCGAGUGGGGCUUGGUUUAAUGAGCUCAAUUCUGAUAUCAGGAGGUUAACUUCGGGCCGGAUUCUAUAUAAUGAAAGAUCUCUGUAGGGCGUAGGCUUUUUGUUCUAUAUAGAAAAUGGAGGUUAGGAAGGAAAGAGUGAAGUUAAGAUUGUCUGUGACAAAGGAGUUCUUUUGACUUGACCUUACCUACAGGAACGUUAGUAGUCUACUGAAAGCUUCCAUACUCCAUUCUGAUUUCUCACCUCAUAUUUGUAUAUAAUAUAGAUUGAGUAAUGUUAUUUUGUAUAUAAUAUAGAUUGAUUAAUGUUAUGAAUUUAUUAACUAGAUGCCGUAGGUUCAUUGUUAAUAGUUCAUAUGACAUCUAACCGUAAUUCAAAGAUCCAAAAAGCAUAAGUUUCAGAUUGACCGAAGGAAGAAUUCAAAUUCAUGAAAUGGAAAUAAUGAGAUAAAGAACUUAUUGAAAUAAGCUAAUAAGAUGAACUACUAACAACGAUGUAGGCCUAAGUAAACUCUUUCUUUUUCUAUGUCAAAGUUCGUGGGUUGCUAGCUAACUAAGCGAGAGAGACCUUCCUUGCUGUAGUCAAGUCAAAGGGGAAGUCUGCUUUGCUACAUAUUACUGCUCCCCAUGGGAAUCUCAUUUCUCGAUGAGCGAACUUCACCAUCUGGAUAUCUAUCAUGAAAUGGUUUCUGAAAGGGCUACCCACCUGUGCUGUGGAUCACUUGCAUCCGAAUCGCCUUGCUCCGCCUCUGCCUCAGCCUCUGUAUCUGGACAGCCUUUUCGUUUAUGCGCCUGAAACGGCUUCCGAAAGCGUAAAGCGUAUCUUUCUUAGGAAUUCUACUGAACGGGGUCGAUCCACUUCAUUAGUUUCAUUUGAAUUUCCUUAUUUACAGAAAACAGAAUCUCAAUUGAUACCACAAAGAAGCGGUUUUCUUCUUUCACAAUUGGUGACUACAACGAACAAAUGCGUUUAAGCUUAGCGUUCCAACCGUCAUAUCUAUUCCUUACGCUCAGUGCACUUAUAAAGUCUAUAAGAGUUUCCGCUUACCCUUCCACUAAACUAUUAGAGCCCUGUGAGACCUACUCAAAUUAUUCCAAUUCAGUCAAGCCUUACUAAAAUAGGGGGUGGAGGUAGAGUGCGGUGGAUCGAUUAGUACAUGCUGACGUCCGAAAGUGCUUCGCUUUCUAUUCAGAUAAGAACAAGUAGAUCAUAAGCUAGUAUUGGAUUUACUGGCAGAACAGAUCGAUGAUCCUAUCUUCUUGGAUUCAAUUAAGAAAUGACUAAUAGUUAAUCAGCUGAAGGAAGAACCUUUCUAAACUAAGGGAUUGGUCUCUCCCCUUACUAAACCUCUAUCUUAAAGCCCUUUCCCCAUUUCAUUUCAUAAUCUUAAGGUCCGCUUUCAAGCGCUGCUUUGGAAUGUAUGUGGUGUGGGUCUAUGACAUCAGGUAGCCUGCAAUCGAAGAAUGAGCCAACAGAGUGACCAUGUUAGUUGAUUUGCUCUUCUUCAAUCGGGUUUGUUUCGCAUUGGGGCAGCGACAGCCCUAUACCAGCAUACGUAGGCACUUAUACUUUCAUCACCUUUCUGAUAGCCUGGCGAGAUCUGAUCUUUUUUGUUUGGCAUCUAAGUAGUAGGAGUACUUAUUUCUUCCAAUUUGAGAUAAUUGCUAAACCUACGCGAACUUAGAAUGAUCUAGUGACGUAAACCAUUUCCGUGCAGGGCACUAAAGACUCUUAUGGAACAAUCGGAUGGCAGCCCCUUCCUCUUUCUCUAAAUAAAGGGCAGACAUCGGCACAAUAGGCUUUAAGAUGAUAGAUAGGACAGCCUUUUCCGUUGUAUUUUCUGAAUUGCCCGGAUGUGAUGCUAAGAUCGAUUCUGAUUAUAUUAUUAAAGAAGAAAGAAUAGCUAAAAGGAAGCGAGUGGAGUUGUAGAAACGGGCGCUAUGGGGAAACGGGGGCUAUUGUGAGAAAGUCUAGUCACUCCGCUAGAGGUAUUCCAAAUUGUAGAUUUCCCACAACAACUAGCUGCUGCUUGAGUAGAUGUCUAUCUGGCUUUCACAAAAGGAUCCGGAGUCUGGGCCAAAUGAGACUUGAAAAAAGAACUCAUUUGAUUUCGCUACUGCCUUCAAGCCUCGUCUUUCACUCUAUUAACUGAUACGCGUUAGCUGCAUUCCCUAUACGAUGUUUCAAACUGCUUCUACUGACAUCGAACCUAAACUCAAAGGCAUCGCAGCCAGCUAAAGCUGACCUCUGAUUCUUCUACUUCCGAACCUAAAUCUGUAUUCCUUACCCUUGUAGUUGUGAACCUAUGAUUGUAGUUGUGUUAACCUAUUCCGUCUUUCGCCUCCUAAACUAAGCAUGCCCUUCCUGGCUAUUGGUCUAUGUCCCCUUGCUCUCGUUCUGUAACUCCUGAUCCGGAUCUGUGCUACCAAACUCAAACUACCGCCCCCCGUUCUGUAGCUAACUACUAUUCGCAUUUUAUUGAUUAGUAUAAGAAACUCGCUAGUGGCGGUCAAGCCAAGCCUUAUAUCCUGCCCCCUGUUACAAGCCGGACUUGCCCACUACUUUAUUGCAUUAAGUAUUCCGGUUUCGUACAAUAGAAUGUGUUUUCGUAUAGAGUAGAUUCAUUCAUUAGUUGUUGCCUUACUGCUUGUAAUACAUCCCAAGCCGAACUCAUUAGGUUUAUACUUUUAGCCUAUUGGUUGAAACCCACACUCCUGCCUGAGAGGCUUACUUCACUUUCUAUUAGUCUACCUAUCCGAUCUUUGAUUCUUGCUUUCCUUUAUCUUAUUCUUCAAUUGAUUAGCUGAGUUCUGUUAACUACCCCGGCGACUAGCUCAAUUACAUCGACCCUUACUUACUUGCAAACUAUCACACUACCAUCGGGUACUCAGCCCUUCCUUACAAGCAUUCUAUAGUUCACCUAUGAUUCUGACUUUUGUAUUUCACUCUGCAAUGCCUUAUUCUUUUAUUGUAUUGUCCAAUUUCGUAGUAUUUGCUUAGGUAAUUCGGGUCAAAAAGGGCGACUUCCAUAUCGAUUCAAGCCACAUACUAAUAUAUCAAUCCUAUACUCUAGCCUUAUCGCUCCGUGGGGGAAGAGGAAGUUGUUCAAAGGAACCAUCAGCGCAUAUCCUCUAUUCUUGUUGAGUAAGGAGUCCGUAAUAGCAGUUAGACAACUUUGGCAUUAUAGAUGUCAUCCGUGUUGUUACUAUGUGGAUGUCAUCCGUGUAGACUCGGCCUCGGCGCCUAAGAUGUUAGGUUAAUAUGCAUCAGAAGGACAGUUUCCAAGUUGAAUAUAGUAGAUUUCACAGUUUCCAAGUUGAAAUAGUAGAUUUCCAUAAAUAGCUGUUUCCCAUAGAGAAAAAGACUCCAAAUAAUAGGUUGCAAGCCCCGACCCGACCCAAGAGUAAGCUAAUGCACCAGCACCCCGAACUCGGACAGCUUAUGAAUCCAAAAGAAGAGAAUUGAGGUAGCCCGAGUGGAGUUGAAGACGAAAACAGGAAUUUCAAUGGAACUGACCUAGGAGGGGAGAUACUGCGAGAGCCAAACUACCGAUACUUACUGAAAAUACUCAUAUCCAAAAAUCAAGUACUUUCUUUCUUAUCAUUUCCAUACUAACUGUUUAUUCUCGGCUAAUUUCAUUGUCUCCCCCACUUCUUAUUAAUAAAGUAUUUAAUAUGAAUGGAUCUGGAUCCGCGGCUUCAAAGAUGCAAUUCAUUCUUUGUUGACUUCACACAGAAUUGAGUAGUUAAUUGCCCGACUUAGUUGUUUGUUAAUGUGCUCCAAGUAAAGUAUCCAAUGUUGUAUCAAUACUUUCUGCUCGAAGGAAGGUUAGUAUCCAGUAGAGUGGAAAGGUAGGUGUAUUGUGUAUAACCGAAAGACGAGAGAUGGAUUCUUUCUCAUAUUGGAUUAUAUGCCCAAGAGAUAGAAUAUGAAAUGGAUUGCGAGAAUGAAUGAGUUGACUCGGAUCAAAUCAAGACUCAGUGAUAAUGCGAGUGAGGGCAAGAACAAGUGCUAAUCUAAAACGAGUUCGGUUCGGGCAAGUUCCAUUCCAGCUUUCGGUGUCAGUGGCGUCAGUAAAGUAUUAAGGAAGUAGGAGUAUUGAGUCUAGAAUCAAGUAAUAGGACACUAAUGACUCUCUUUGGGCGCUGGGCAACAAUCAAUAUAGUAAUGGUGCUUGGCUUUCCUCAUUUCGAUGAGUUCACACUAAGAAUUAGGAUAAGUAAAACACUUAGUAUAGAUGGGAGUAAAUACACUGAACACAAAAGCACUUCCUCACCAGCUCCAUUUGAGGCUUCUGCUACUGCUCUACCUAACCCAACUUCUUCAACUAAUUUCACAAGAAGAGGAGAUGAGGCUUACCCUCGAACAGCUUACACCCGCUUAUUCUCGAGUUGACAAUGCUCGAACAGAACUAUCCUUUACGAACUCUCUUUGAAAAACGGAAUAGAAAUAAGAAGUUGCACCUUAACCUCUCUUUCCACGACAAGAAAGAUCAAGCCAAUCAAUAACCUCGUAGCCCAGAAAUGAACUCGCAGACAAAGAAACAAGACUGGAAGUUCCUUCCCCAUAUCCAUAUCUUGCUGCUGACCGAACAAGCAAAUCACUUACUGGCUUCAGUUACGGGGUGCUAAAGGAAAGGUUUUUUCUCAAGCGCAUAAGCACUUUUCGUUUUCGUUUGGGGCAGAAGCUUAAUUGGGAUCUAAAGAAAGAUCAUCAGCUGUGCGAAAGGGCAGGUCAACAGCAAGCGGUUUUCAGAGCCGAGCCUCAAAGUGAUGAAGAGGUUACACCCGCUAACUGAAAGGGAGUUGUUGACCACUAUAAUCAAUGAUCCGGGGGGAAAGUGGAAGAAUUAUUUGUUGCUACUUUCACCCUUGAAAGGAAAGAAUCCAUUGGUUAGCCUAAAACUAGACUACUUGCUACCAUUGCUUCAGUCAUACCACACCGCUCACUUACGGGAGCUCGAAAGAUUUCAUUUAUUCUGCUGUGAAACGAGAGUUCGGCAAAAGGGAAGCCAAGCCAGUAAGAUUCAAAAGAAAGAGAUUCAAUGGAUGUUUGAGUUAACUCGGCGCUUAGGUAGUUAUUAGUUGAAAGAUAAGAUGAUGCUGGAUCAGGAUUGGUCGUUAGUAGUGGCUAAGUAUACGCUUGGCGAAUGGAAAUGGGGUUUGCUUUUCUUGGUCCACCAUCACGCAGAUAACAAAAAAAGCUUAAAUGAUCUGGGUUUAUGGUAUGCAUCUUGCCUCCUACCAUGACCUUCCUGGAUCACGACGGGGUCUGCCAAUCUUCCAAUCAGAGAGUAUAGCCCUGGCAUAGAGGAGCCCCCGAUCCCACAACUGACUUCGUACCGACGGGCAUAAGGUGAACGAACCCCCCGGCUUAGUGUAAUAUCCAAUGCCUCCUAGGAAGUCUAGACUUGCUCAGAGAGCCCCAUAGCCUAGUUAUUCUUUCGUUUACCAACAACCCACCUUGCUAAUGCUAACAAAAUGCUUUCUUUUCUUUUUGGAUACUUUUCUCAAAUGUCAAAUCAUAAUGAAAGAAAUGCCUUUCUGAAAGAGGAAAAUGCCUCUCUAAGACAGACAGACACUUUGGAUUCUCGACAACGAUAAGGUGGAAAAGGACAUAUGGCUUUGAGAUUCAUUCUGUUUUUUAUCGGAACACCCUUGGGAUGCCCAAGAACUUAUUGGGUAGGUAUAAAAACUAAGUGCCCCUGACUUAAGGGAAAGAAAGUGGAUUGUUGAUUUAAUUCAAAGCAGAUGAGAGAGUCAACCGGGAAGAAAGAAAAAGAGGGACAAGCAAGGUACUAGGUCUUUUCUUUAUCUUGCCUGGAGUAUGGGAAUGCAUUCAUUAGGGCAAACAAGGCAAUCGCUUCGGCCUAAACGAGAUAACCAAACAAUUUCUUAGCUAAUGAUCGUGCUACUGAAAAGAAUCAAAAAGAGUGAAAAUCCCUACCGAGGCUCCCGCUAAAGCAAUUGUGGCUUUUCCUGUACCGUAGUAGCUUGUCGGAUACUACACUGGAACUGCUGAUGAAGAUCUUUCUUCUGAUCCAGUUUACAAAGAUUCUUCUCUCGGAGACAAAACCAGAACUACACUAUCAUUUGAAGAACCGAUUGCGACUUACUUACUUGAGAAAGCUUCUUUUCCAGCUUAGGUUAGUUACUCAUCAUAUCUAUUAUAUGGAUCGGGAAACUCACAUUCUGUUUACUCGAGUUACAGCUUCAUUCCUACUUUUUGGCUAGUCAAAUUAUGGAUUUGGAGUUGAGAGCACGUGGUAGGCGAGAUAGAGGUCCAUUCCGUAUUGAGGAGAGACAGCACUAGUGAAAUUGGUGUUAGUGCUUCUGUAAGACAAGAAACUUACCGGCUAGAAUCCCAGUAGUAGUCCUAAUUAAUAGCGUAAGUGGAGUUAAUGAGUCUCAAGUAAGCAGCCCGAUCACUAACGCUCAAAACCAUAUUUGCUCCGGACGGGACGGUUUCCAGUGUUGUCGUAGAGAGAAGCUCUGCGUCGGGGUGGGUCAGGAACUGUAGCUAUGUCUAGUAGAUCUCGGUUAAGAAUCUUAGUUGUUGUCUAAAGCUGUCAAUCCAGUUCUUGUUUCAUCCGAAUCCCAUCUUUCUCAUGCCCACACUCAGCGGUUAAUGCUUGACGAACACCAUGUGCAAAAGAGAGAUGAAAGGAAAGUCGACAUCGAUAACAGAAGAAGAAGUUUCCAGUUUGAUGAGACUCAUCAGUAUCAAAUCAGUAAGCAAGCUUUGGAGUUCACUCUUACCUAACUUCUUUCUAUACGUUGCACUAUUAUCUAUAUUCCAUUCUUUGCUGCAGUGUGAGUUGUGAGUUUCGAGGAAAAGGUUAGGAUAUGCUAAUUAAGCGCUAACGUAGUUUAGAGUUCACAGUUCCAGUCCUGUUUUCGUUUCUUUGUCUUCCGGUGAGGUGAUUGAGCUCUCCCGUUAGCGAGUUCUUUAGAAAUGCAAAAUCAAUCUAUCCUGGGCAACUAAUAGAAUUUGUCAUUGAUGCCUAGCCCUUAAGCGCCAUAAAAGAAUAUGCACCCAUUUAAUGGAACCUAACUAACCUUACUACAUUGCUUUCCCACUUGGGUUGAAGCAACGAGACGAGACUUUAGAUGUGACUUUGAGCAGUGAUUACUUGACUUCGAGCAGUGAUUACUUGACUUCGAACAGUAGGGCCUAGACUAAUAGUACUUAACUUCGAGCCUCAAGCUUCUUCUAUACCACAUGUUUACCCGGUGCGCCCAGCCCCAUAAGCCAAAUAAGAGAGAUUCUUGCGUGAAAGUAUUCGGAGGUGAUUCUGUUGUCGGUAGUAGAGAGAGAGGUUAUUGUGCUCUCGUAUCAAAUAAAGAAGAAAGAAUGCUUGAUUUCAGCUGUUAAGGUAAAAAGGGAAGGUAACGAAGGUCAUCCUACGACUAAGACGACUCAGACGAAUGAAUGAAGUGUAUUUUCCCACUAUUCCUACAGCUACUACUACUUCGUACUGCUGUAAGGCGUUUCAAGUUUCUAACUUGUUGCAAGGAAUCUGAAGUUGUUAUUGUCUGGAGUCGCAUUAGUGAGCUGCUUCGGUCAGUAAGUCCCUUCCCUUGGUACGCUCAGCUUAGCCUGUAAGGGUUAGGUAGUGGAUGUAGCUUCUCUUCUCUUCUUUAGCAUCUUUGUUAUUUCAUUAAGUUAAGCAUUGAGGUGAGUGUUGCUAGGUCUUUCGGAACUACUUAUUUGCUUUGCCUUUCUCUCUCUGCCCACUGAACUGUCAGCAUCGAGUCGAGACAAGGUCGGAAUGUUCGCUGAGCAUAGACUAGUCUGCAGUCACAGGCUUGCUAACGAAACUUUGCUUCUCACUGAAAACAGCCUAAGCGAAAGAAAAGAAAAUCGAAUGCGAGGAGCUGAGGCCUGGACUAUAUUCUAUAGUUGUACAUAUGCCAGGAAGAAAAGCCAUUGCCGGUUGUUUUAGAUCGAGUGAGGAGAAACAAACCCACUGCUCCGGGGGCAGCCUUGGGGCGAGGCAAGAUUACGGAGACAGAGAUUAAGGGAAAAGCUGCUAGUUCACAUAUGAUCUUUUCAUUACUUAGGGUUAGGAUCAUGUCAGGGAUAUGGUGAAAAUCAAACUCGCAUUUGAACACUGUUCGGCGUUAUUCUAAUUAAGAUAAGGUAUGCAGCUAAGCAUAGUGUGUUUCUUAGGAGUGACUGAAUGCAGUGCUUACUUAGUGCUUCCAAGUCCAUGCUAGGCAAACUCAGAUUAGCAGCAAAUCCUUUAUUAGCAUUAAAUACUUCUCACGAAGAAGCUGUCUCACCUCAUAGUUGUUGUAUAGGUCUCGUCCUUAGAACUGUCUCGAUGCCAUGAACGUUGGUCUAAGACAAAGUAAGGAGGUUGUUGGAUUUUCGUUACGACUAUCCCUUUAGCUAUUGACUAUGAUACCACCCCUUUAGCUAUUGACUAUGAUAAUAGAAUCUAGUAUGAUGAUUGUGACUAUGAUAAUAGAAUCUAGUAUGAUGAUUGAUGGAGUAGGUGCUUGCUAUCUUCCUUAGGUAGUAUGAUGUAUUGAUUGAGUAAGGUAGUAUGAUGUAUUGAUCGAGUAGGUGCUAUCUUCCUUAGGUAGUAUGAUGAUUGAUCGAGUAGGUGCUAUCUCCUUAGGUAGUAUGAUGAUUGAUCGAGUAGGUGCUAUCUCCUUAGGCGAGGGUAAGCAAAGCCAGAAGACUCACUCCAAGAGGAAUCGACUGAAAGAAGGAACACUCAGAAAUCCCACACCCCACAUAAGUAACGAGCGGAAGAGGGAAUGCAUGCCACUAUUCCAAUUCAAAUUCCAUGAACUAUUGAACUUACUAAGGCGAAAAAAUGCAACGAGGAUCAUUCUAUUCUCUAGACAUUAGGGAUACAUACAUACAUACAUCUUUCAAUUCUAUACAUUCAUUAGGCAUACAUAUAACAUUCAUUAGGCAUACAUUUCAAUAUAUAAUAGCGAUAAGGAUGAUUACGAUUGAGACGGUAUUAUCAAGCGUGGGCAUAAGAUGAAUAGGUGGAGCCACCCAACCCAAGCGUGGGCAUAAGAUGAAUAGGUAGGAGCCACCCAAGUUUAGAAUAACUCUAUCUUCUUUUCCUAGUGAGAUUUUGAUAAGAUAGAUGGAAUGAGAUCCGUGUCUUAUUUAUGAAAGUAUCAUACCCGCCUUUACCGCUCCGUGGUACCUAUAUGACUCUAUUUCUUUAGAUUCUACUCAUUACUCUAUUUUUCUUUAGAUUCUACUCAUUACUCUUAGAGAAAGAAGAGAGCUUUACCAGUAAGUCGAGCCCUUGAAAACCAUAUUGGAAGUCCGGAUUGAUUGGAUUUAUCGAAAGCCUAGGAGCUCCAUACAGACUUGAUUGGACCUUAUUUAUGAGCCUAUUGCUAGUUAUUUGAUCUUACUCGCGUACGAACCCUAUAUAUACUCAAGUGCUUCAUUAUUGCCCGAGUUCUCUAAAGCAUCCAAAAUGAAUGGAAUAGAGUGCUGCAAAAGAAAAAGAUGUAUGAUAUGUGCACCCACCCCGGCAAGUAAAAGAAUAUAUGAUAUGUGCGUGCGCCUACCUCGGCAAGUCACAGAUUGAUAGCUAUCCCUACCUACAUAUAGAAUCCGAGUUACUCCACUUAUUGUGCCUAUCUGCUUAAUUGCCCAGCCGCUAUUCUAUUCCUUGAACUUGGCUUGAACUUAACGCCUAAAGUGGAACAUGGUGCACCAACUAUAGGAAGAGCGCAAAGAAGAGAAGAGGAUCUGUGUCUUAUACUGUGUACUUUCCGGCCACCUAGAAGCAAGCAGCUCUCAAAACAUCACUUUUGGAAUGUAGGUGCAGCUGUUCUGUUAUAUAGUAAUAGUCACUCAAGGGUCUUGGCAUUUACGAUAGCCUAAACCCAUAAAUCUAGUGGGCCCACAGGGGUUAUCAAGCGCAAUGCUCCUAUUCUUUUUGGUUAACUUGGCCUGGCCUUAGAGGUAGUCUUUUGUGAACUUGACCUUUGUUGGCGUAUAGAGAAACUGUUCGAGUGGAAGUUUCAUCAUAUAAAGAGAAAGAAUUGAAGACGGAAUUCUCAACUGCUGAGGUUACUAAGAAAGGAAAGGGUCAUGUUACUGAAUUAGGCUAUAAUUCAUAUGUUCCCACUCUUCGAAUAGCUAAUAAAGAAAGAGAAGAAACUCUUCGAAUAGCUAAUAAAGAAAGAGAAGAGGAGAUACCAGAGAUUCCGUAUAAUCAAUGAUAGCUUAACUAAGUGAAGUGAAGUAUAGUAAAGGUCAAGAAAGGACUCAGUAUAGUAAAGGUGCUUGACAAAGUUCAGCAGUAGGGUAUAGUCAAGGGCAACCUUCUCUAACGCGCUUAGCUUAAUAUACGUUGCUUGUAGAAUCGAUAGAAUAAAAGAUAGUGUGUGACUAAUAUAGAAUCUAGUAACAACUGACUGUAAAGAAGAUUAAUGAGGCACAAAAUAUCAUAUCUUAAACAAUUCGUUUGUUUGUGUGUGUAUAGUUAUGUUAUAUUAUAUCUAUUCUAUGGCGCACAACAACUCUGGUCGAUUAUAGGAAAUGAUAGGAUAUUUUCGCUAUUGUAACAAGCAUACGAUUCAUGGAGAAAUAAAGAAAUAGAUCGAACGAAGGCGUGUGCGUUCUCGCCAAGGAAGAGGAUGAACUUCACACAUAUAUCUCACACAUGGAUAAGAGAAAUAAUGUAAACAAAUCAAAGAAAGCCUAUCAGGCAUUUCACCUGCUAAUAAGGCAUUUCACCUGCUAAUAAUCAAUAUAGGAAUUAUGGACUCUAAAGAAUAGGGGUUCCAUCCUUUCUAUGGUUACUUCUGAAACGGUGAGGUCCUGUCCUCUCUAUACACCGGAGCCUCCUCUUUCAUUUCAUCAAAUGGUAUAGUUCACACUCUUUGGCUCUACCCACAUAUAUAUAUGUGUUGAGUAAUAGCUCUUUUCACAAGAAAAUGUAUCUAUACAGUGAUGGCAUGAAAUUCGGCUAGGUAGCAGACCCUCAUAGUCCGGCUCUUUUAACUAACUAUAUAGGAGAUAAUCUCUUUGCUUCUAACUACAUAGGAGAUAAUCUCUUUGCUUCUUAGAAUACCUUGUUCCAUUCCAUAGCUUCAUGGAUAACCAUUUUCUACCAAUGGGUAAUAGCUUUUCAUCUAAUAUCUAGGUGAUUGGAUUUUCACCAUAAUAUGGAUAUGGAGAUGAUAGAUCUUUUCAAUUGACCCUAUUCAUUGGUACCGGUAAAUUCCAUACAUAAUCUAUUCGUUUUUGAUGGAUCUUUUCUAUUGACCCUUCUUUAUUGGUACCGGUCAUUGACACUGUCCAAAUUGUCUCAUUUGUUCGAACUCAUGAUCUGAACGAGUCGCACAUACACCCUAGUCAAUGUUAUUCUAAGCGGAGUACAUCUUGUAAGAGCGGGAGAAUUCUCCACAUUCCUUAUAGGCUGUCUUGUGUUCGUUCCUAAUAAUAAGUGGAAUAGUUGGCAUGUCGUCCAUAUAUAUGGAGAUUAUUAAUAUAUUUCUCUAAUAACAGGACAGGGUUGGUUUAGAUCGAUCUUUACCUUAUGAUUGGAUUGGAGCUUAAGAAUUCCGUAUUUCUAUUCAAUACCACAAAUGCCGGAAAUUCUCAUUAUGGUUUUGAAAUGUAUUUACAUGAAAUCCCCAGUAUUUGCAUUUUCGACCGCUACAAGAUCAACAAUGCCAUGAGCUUGCUUGGGCUUCAGUUGCUGACAUAAGAACAACAUCCCUUUCCAUGUCUUCAGAUACAACCCAUAAAAGGGUGUACAUAAACCACCUUUGUUAGGGUUUCGCGUCACUAGUUCUUCCACUUCCAGGAGAUAUUCCCCAGCUUUGCUUGUGCUUCAGAAAAACGAAAAAGCGCUGGUUUAUGAAUCAUGACCCUAAUUAUAUUGAUCUCUUAGAUAAGAACAUAAUGAACGGUUCCUCUAUCUCGCAUGAUUGGGCUAAUAUAAGGUCAAAAAUGAAUAACAAGAAGAAAUGGACCAACCGUCACUGGCAUCUUCUGUGCGUUGCAUACGGCUCCGCAAUGGAAUGAACUCUUCUUAUUCUAUAAUAUGAAAGCUAGAUAGAGAGAAGAUUCUAUAAUAUGAAAGCUAGAUAGAGAGAAUCCAUCUGAUUUAGAUCCCUUAGUUUGCACUUUCCUUUCUUUUGAGGUUUAUGUUCUACUGCGGGAAUAGAUCUGUCCGAAUUCUAUAUAGCAUAUAGGGCGGCUAAUGCUCUCAGUACCACUUCCUUUUUCAAUUCGUUGAAUGCCUUUCCCCAACCAUUCGAUGUUUUCAUAAGACUAUUCCAUUGGUUAUUGGUUGGACGUUUGAAAUCACUCCUAUAUAAUAUCCGGAUAAGAAUCGUUUAUGAUACUAGUGGUAAUCGUCCAUUACAUUGAUUCCCCAUCUGGUAUUUUCUGAACGGAGCCUAGCCUAGCCUAGAGACUCUAUUUUUUCCUUUAUUCCAAGUCAACCAUAAAUAUGAUACUAAUGGAUCCUAAAAAGAAAUGGAAAUGGAUCUAAUUGCACUUGACGCUCCGAAUGAUUGAUGGUUCACAACUCAAUACAUACAAUAUUUCGGCGGCGAAAGAGAGGAUAUCUCGCUCCACGAGCCUUUACUUGCUCAUAACAGAGCAGCCUUAAGCGGCAGCAGCGGUUCAACAAGUAGAUCUCGCCCUCAAACAUCGGUUUCAAGAGACUCGGCCCAAGAAAGAUGAAUGGAAUAUCCGUCGAGAAUAAUAUGUAUGGAGCAGAAGAUUUCUCAGGAGUUGAUAGAUAGGAGGGGAGGGGUCUUGUAUAGAAGAUUUUGGUAAUAUGAGUAAGAGCUAGAUUCUUAACUACUUUGGAUUAUAUCUUAUAUGUAUGCGAGAUAGAUUCCACAAUUAAAGCAAGGUUGACUUACCUACUCCCUACUUAGUUGUUAAUGCUUAAUAAGUUUCAAGUAGAGUUCGUUUUUGAACCACCAAGCUACUACUAAACAAGCAACAGCGAAAGUAAGCGUUAGCCCUAAGGAAGGAAUUGAAGCACUAUCAAAGCUAGGGCGUAAGGAGGCCUCGGGAAAGUCAAUCCAUAUUAAGUCUAACCUUCCGACAAAGAUUCCAUAGAUGUUGAUUCACGCUUCUGCGCUAAGGGAGUUUACAGUGAGCAUAAAACUCACCUUGGUUACUUGGUGCUUGAAAGAGCUCUACUUAGCUACUACCCCGCUUAUCUAAUACUGACUUGUCUUAUACUAUCUUCUACUAUCUUGUCCCUAAGAAACAGGACCAUGAAUUGAUGAACCAACAACAGAAUCACCUCUCGAGUCGACAAGGGAAGGAGCUACAGGAACUCUACGGCAACUAAGGUCCAGAACAGGAACUGGGCAUUCUAUGGCUUCAUAUCUUGAAACUGCAUCAAUUCCAUUCUUCAGUAUACGCUUGCACUUAUUAACAUUCCUUGCUCAUAACACCGGACUAACGCGAGUGAGUGAACCUUUCUUUUCUGACCGGCUUCAAUAUAGAUCGUAUUUAUUACCCCAUUCAUUAUAUACAAUACUUUUACCACUUCCCCGCAUCAAACCCUGUACAAGUCCUUUCUUAGACAAUAAAUCUUAUAGUAUGAGAAAUUCUCCCCUAUUCUUAUAAUUACACACCCCCACUCGGCAGCAUCAGAUCUGAGAUCAUAAGACACUGCUACCAAUGCCCAUAAGACUCACCCUACUAACAGUUCAUUCCGCAUCUGUAUUCCGACUUACUAAAUAGGGCUUUACUUCUUCAACACCCGGUUCAGUCUUUGAUUUACUGGCGAACACAGGACUUGGCGGAUCUCAAUGCCCUCUUUGACUCCUAACUAUAAAACCCCUAUCCAACUCUUAUGACCCGACCAUCGCCACCUGUAUUUGUCUACUCACUUCCUGUCUUUUAUUCUACCUUGGUUGACCAGGCAGUCCUACUAACUUAUAGAAUCAAGAUUGGAUUGGAGCUAAUGCCAACAAGAGUUGCACCGGAUGCGACUCAUCCUUAUACUGGAAAGCGCCCUGCCGUAUAGUAGUUAAAAACACUACUUUAUUUAAGGCUAAGUUCCCGGACAAACAUUUCUUGUCCCCCACGAUGCAUGAACGCUGGUAGUUGUUGAUUUAUUAUAUUCGUAUUAGUCUCCUUAGCCGGGUACCCUUACUUGAUAGGUGACUUCUUCAAUUCCUACUUUACUUGGAUCUACCUCCUCGCUUACUCGCUACUCAAUCCCAUAAUACGGAGUUCUAUUAUGAAGGUAUAUUAUGAAAUUAAUGUACUUAAUUCUUGAGUUCGCCUGUCAGGCUUUCAGUUCCUUGCUUUUAGUCCUACUUUACUUGUUUUCACCCUACAACUCCAUACUUGAGAACUUGCUUCCACAGAUCAGUAUAACGAUCCCCUAUAGCUAAGCCUGCUCUGACUUGCUCUAAAACGAAAAUCCCUCCCGCCUUGGGUUAGUCUAUCUCUCCUGGCUUUGAUUCUCACUAUCCUGUCUCUCGUUCUGUUUUCGUUCCUUUGCCCUUAAGUAAUUGAAGCCCCAUAGUAGUGAAAUCAGAUAGGAGCGGGUAACUAAUGCUUGAGUGGAAUUCUAUAGGUAACCAGACAGCUUACUCUCUUGGGUGGGGAGCGAAAGUGUCUAGCAUUAGUAUCAGUGUCAUAUACUAUUGGCCUGGCCUCUCCUUAUGCCCUAUAAGUAUGCUGCUUCCCUUGUAGACCUAUCCUCUUGUAUGGAAUUGUAUACGAAGACAUAGCAAGUAAUCUAGAAGGAACUCCCGAAAGCAGUGGAUUCACAACUAAAAGGAACUCCCGAAAGCAGUGGAUUCACAACUCCAUUUCCCACUCCUGCUCCUGUAGCCUUAAUAAGUAAGGGCAAGAAGUACUUAGGCGCUCAAGAAGGAGCAACCAAAUAGUACUAGAAAGCAGAAUGGAAUUGAAUAUCCCCCGACCCGACCUCUGUUUCUCGCCCUCUUGCUAAUACGGAGCCUCUUUAUAAUGCAGAUCUUGUAGUUAAGGCUUUCACACCAGAUUCAAAUAGAAAGGAAGUAGCUGAGUAAGCAAUAAGAUUUCCAACUGAAAGAGAAGCUUUGUAAGGGUGUAUUGAAUGGAAUGGGAGAAUUCGAUCAGACGGCAGGAUCAGUGCUCAAGUAUGUCGCAAUUGAAGGUGGAUUUUGGGGUGCUCUGCCGGGUUUCGAUUCUAAAGGUUGAGUUUACAGUAGAAGAAUGCCCUGUGACAAUGGAAAGUACAGCUAUUAAAGCAAAGGUGGAAAGUCCUACCUGAUAGAGCUAGGGUGGUUUGCUCCAUUCCCUGUUUGAUCUAUUAGCACCCAGUUUCAUUGUCAUCAGCGGUAGUUUAGUUCUAUAAGAUGAGAGCCAUAGCGCGCCCAGCCUAAUAGUUGCUUCGUGUAGCUCAAUUCAGUAAGUACGGGUUCAGUCUUUUAGUGCACUAGCCAAUUCCCAGUGGAUGGAGUCGUUACUAAGAGUUCUUAGCUCGGUGCGCAGUUUCGUACGCCCUAUACAGUUGACUCUUUAGGCAGUGUAUUAGUCUGCUUGUCGCCAGUUUGAUUCAAUAGGUAGGUGAUUGGAUUCCCAGUUGCUAGCUAGGGUCUUGUUAGUCGUUAUUUCAUUUUCGUAUUCCCAUUCUCGUAUUCCCCAGUUCCAUUCCUGUCAGAAGUUGAUUUCCUAUUUGUUAGGGGAAGUUUCCAGUUUAGAACUUACCUGUGAGUGACUUGUCUGCUUGGUUACUAAGAGAAAGGAGUGUCGGGCUUAUUUCUUUGGUUAGGUCAACAGUUUUAGGUACUCUACUUAGGAGUUUCAAUUCGGACUUAGUGCGCUACACGAGAAAUUCCUCCUUUCAAAAGAAAUAGAUUAGUGAGAGAUGUGCACUCUACCAUAACUUCUGUGGUGUUUGAUGGGAAAGUAUUGAUUUUGCUAGGCUUUCAGCACCUUAUUAGAGGAGAAAGUAUUAAGUGUCAGUAGCUUGGGAAUGAGAUAAAGCAAUGUUCGUUUUAGAGCUAUAGUAGCUUAAGAGCGAGAGACAAGAGUGAAAGUCCGUAGCUUUUGUGGAAGUAUAGAGAUUUUCAAUUAUCAAUCAGAAUUCCAGGUAUACAGUUUGGUGCUAAGUGUAGGCGAUAAGUGUAAGUUCGGUGCUACAGAGAAAAGAAGUCUAGUAUUCUGGGUCAUAAGUAAGAUGGGUAAUAAGUCAGAGUUGGAUGCUAGCUAUAAGUCUAGGUUUUGGUGCUAAUAAUGUAAGUACGGGUUCCGUCUUUUAGUGCACUGGUGAAUCCCCGCCAAGACGACAAGCUACUACCGCCAGAGCCAAGCCACUAGGCAAUCAGCCCUUCCCUUACGCGACUCCUACUAGUUGGGGCAAGAACAUCACUUUCAUAGCUUAGCUUCCCUUUCUGACCUGACCUCUAAUAAGUGCCCUACCUCGACUCUGGACUAGCUUGACUACCUCGACUCACCAGACUUAAGAACCAGAUCAGUGCAGGAACCAGAAAGUAAGUAAACGACACUACCCGAGUAAGUCAGCCUAUCCCUUUUCACUAGGCAAAACUCACCUCUAUCCGACACAAGACAAGAAAAGAAAUAGAUCCUAUCCGACACAAGAACAGAAAGAGUAUCUAUGGAAGCUGAAGUCGACCUAGACCUAGACCUCGUAUCACAAAGCCUUGGACUCCUUAGCAUCAGCCUGUAACUCCCUCGGUGAAGCCUUAGAUGCACCCGUUUCAGCCUUAGACUCAUCAGUGCCAUUCUGUGACUCGGACCGGAUAGCCUGAGUACCUAGCUCAGCAGUCCCCGAAGACAGGACUUGUUUAUUGCUUAGCGCCCUAGCUCCCCUCUUUGCCUUUCUUUGCCAACUCCUAACUAGUAAUUACCUAUAUCUAGAUUUACCGCUGAAGACAUCUUAUUGGGCCAAGCGUAUACAUUAGAGUGGAAUGAAGACCUUUGAACUUAGGGCUUCCCUUCUCUCCUUCUUACUGAACAGCUGAACUUGCAAGACCCAACACAGAUGAAACAAAGAAAUCAACUCACACUCGAGCAGUGGAGCUCCCAAAAACAUCUAUUGUAAUGACUUGGCAUAUCUAUUACUGUUGCUACCGCACAACGUCUUGCGCCGUUGCUUGGUCGGAACAUUAGUAGUUCCUUGGCCCGUUACUUGGCUCUCAUUUCUUUGAUUCCAAUAGCCUAGCCUCACAAGAUGGUGCUCUCUUUUGACUACUGACUACCCGAAGAAGGUACUCUCUUUCUUUUGACUACCCGACCUAGUAAAGGAAUGAAAACAAGCAUACCCUAGCCCUACCAUAACAAGCAAGUAAGUAAACAAACAAGCCUACCCGAGCCUCUAGCCUAGUAACUGACUGAGGGCAAUCGGUGGCGAACACAGGACUUGGUACAUAAGAAUGGAAUUGACUAGGAGCAGCUACGGGUAGCGGUAAGUAAACCCUCUUCUUUAUAAAUCAACUACUCGCUUCAUCACCCUAUUCCUCUGGCCAAGAGGGCAGGUUAGCUAGUCAAUUGAAGUAAGUAAACCACCCGCCAAGCAACUUCUACAAACGCCAGACAAAAAAGAAUAUGUUCUAAUUUCGUUAUGAGCAAGUCAGGUAUUCAUGGCGGCAGGAGCCCCGGGUAGUUUGAGUGAAAAGAGCCAUAGGAGAGUGAAAAGAACAAUAAGGAGAGGAGCCAGAGAGUACUCGCUUUGAGGCUAGGCUAGUAUAGUUUCCUUUUGAACUCACUCCUGGUCCUGUGCCCUGGUGUCCGGUCAAGCUGGAAAUAGAGAAACAAGAUACCAGAAUGAAACUUAGUUGGCAAGUAGUAAAGGCGAACACAGCACUUGGUCUAACUACUAAGCUUGGUCUGUGUAGUAGUAGCUUGAGGAGAGGUGAGCUAGUAGGCAAGUCAGAAUGAAGGUAGUUUACUUACAAGUUUCCAGUUCCAGUUCGAAAGUAAGCUGCAGUGAGAGUUUCAUCCCUAACUAGUAGUAGUAGAGUAGUUUCAUCCCCAGUUGCCCUUAUAUUAAGUCGGAGAGUUGGAAGAGCAAGAGGAACAAGUCAGAAUUCAGUGUUAGUUGACAGAACCUCUCUAAUUCCUAAACAAGUAUACGAGUAGUAAAGAGUUAACCUGUGCUUUGGAGAUAGAGGCAAGGGAAGAAAUAGUCAAUAUUAGGUCUACCUGGAAUUCUAUCCCUAGAAGAGAGAUAUACCUCAUGAAGUUCAUAGUUGCCAGUUGCCAGUUGCCAUAGGUCUAGUAGCAAGAGAGGAGCAAGUAGUAGAGUAGUAAAGUUUCAAAAGAGCAUAAAGUUGAAGUCUAGUUGUUGGCAAAGGUGAGGAAGCCGGGUGCUCCAUAGGUGCAAUUCCAUUCUUUGAUGAAAGUUAAGGCUUUGGUUGAAGCAAGCUUGAGUGGAGGUCGGGUAGGCAAGUAGGAAAGAGCAGUGAAUGACUAGGGAGUGUUACCUUCGCAACAAAUACCUUAGCUACUAGCUACUUAUACCUAUAGCAACAGCGCUUCUAUUACUACUUAGCUACAGGGCAAGAAAGGAAACCCCAAGAAUAGGGUGCAAAAUUCACUAUUUAAUAACUUCUUGAGUCUUAUAGGAAAUCCAUCAUUGAAACCCUGAAACUGUCCAACAAAUGCAAUUGAAAGCUGGUUUUCUCUCUUCCUAGGUGGAACACUAGACUCGUUACAUAAGUAAGGGUUAUUAGUGUCUUGGCCCUAUCUAAAUUCUUUCUUAUAAUAUAAUAGAAAUAGAGUGGAAUCAGUAUUUUUUGACUCGGCUAAAGGGAAGGGUUCUUUUGUUGAAAGAGCAGAAGCGGGGUAGCAGUGACAGGUUUCUUGAUCAGAAGCGGGGUAGUAGUGACUUCUGAGAUACUUGGUCGGCAAGGGGUAAUCCACAAAUGAUUUGUUUGUCGCAGUACUGUAAGAGAAGCACGGUGGAGCAGGAUCAAAAGCAGUUCAAAAGUGUGCAGCAGAAUAGCCUGUUCGGGUUUAAUCUGAUCUCUACGGCUUUACCAAUUACUUAAGGGCUUAUGAUUCUAGAGUGUCCUUUCCCAAUUACUUAAGGUCAAAGAACUGGUAAAAGCACUUUCUCAUAUUCUUUCUCUUUAUAUGAGAUAAGGACUAAACUACGGAUGGAAGGAACCUAGACUCCACUCUCACUACUUAUUCUAUUGUCUCUGUUACUUACUAGUGGAAUUCUAACUUGACUACUUGUGAGUGAAAUUCUGAGUUUCAUCUGUGCUCUUAUAUAAGAAGAGUGAUUUGGAUAGCUAUUUUCUUCUACAUAACUUAUACUGUGUUGAUAUAGGAGAAAGAGAAGUUGUUUAUCGGGCAGAAUGAAGUUAUUAUGAAAGUGUGAAGGCCAGUCCAUUCUUAUUGUUUGCCCUGACCCGACCUCUUAACAGGACCAGAUCACUACUUGUAAACUGAAGACUCAACUGUUUACAACUUAUUAUUUAGGCGGUUAAGAAUCCUUAUCAGUUGGUGGUUCAAAACUUAAGCAAACACUUUUGGUGCGAAGGAAGGUGGUCAGCUUAACUUCUUGGCAUGCUUUCUUCCUAUGUGAUAUAAAGAAGAUAUUCCCCAAAAGUAGGCCAGAGUGAAAUGCGCUAUUGCGCGUUAAAUAAGAAUAGUAAUCAUUAGUAGUAGAGCUACAGAGGGAAGUCAGUUCAUUUCUACUUAGCAACAUUGCCUUAGCUACUAGGCAACUCAGUUAUAGACUUUGCAACUAUAGGCAAUCCGGGAAUUCAUUCUACUACGCGCAUCCUUUCUUACUUACUUACUUAGAGUCAAAUCAUUCAACAACUAACUUAUACUUUAGCAGAAGAAUCUCAUGGAACCCAUUAUUCCUACGCCAUGAAUAAAGGACUUGGUAAUAACUAAGAGAGAACCUAUACUGUCCGAGAGAAAACCUGUCUUAGGUCCCCAAAACGCAAGACUCCUAAUUAAUUUGUUAUAACUCGUUUCUGAGUUAACCUGUGUUCGCCUUUCCGAGGUAGAAUAUCUUACAGGCUUUGUUGCGAGGUAUCUUCUAGCUGCCAGGUAUUAUGGAUAUUGCUAACACCUCUAUAGGAUUUUGCUAGGUAUGUUAGCUAGGUAUAAGGUAUAAUAGAAAAAAGUCACUCCGCAUGUACUCUCCUUUCAGAAUAGAGUUUCCUAGGUUACAGUUCCACUCUUUCUUCUCAGUAAAAGUUCCAUUAAGUAUUAGUAGUUGCCUUGUAUCACAGAAUACCCCUAAUAGAGCUUAUAAUGCAUUUUCUGCCUAUUCCUCUUCUUGGACACACCGAACCCUGAUUUAAUGAAAAGAUAGUUUAUAGGUUAUGGUGGUGUAUUGGGCAGGUCAGCAGAUAUGAAAUGCAAUUAUGACUCAGGAUAGAUAGACGGUAUUGAACUAAAGAAGAGAGUUUACUGAACCCUAAAGAUUAUAGGAAUCAAUGAUUUAUCCGGCCUGUUUCUUAGUGGAAAUGAGCAAUCUCUCUAAAAUCAUAUAAAGAUGCGAAAGAAUGAAUUGUAAACCCUAUUCUUACUGGUUGUACCCGGACUGCCGCUCUGUAACUCCUCUGCUGGCCUCUUUUCCUCUUUCACUCCUCCGACUCUACUCUACAAAUACAUCUUUCUAUCUUACUAUUUAAUAUCUCUGUCUCUUUCUUCUUUACAACUAUUCCGACUCUUCUCCUGCUCCUAUAACUCUGUACGAUGCCACUUUCCCUUUCCAAACCUUUCCUGUAGCGUUCGUUUACCCUUACUGAAAUUCAUGAAGUAUAAGCAGUUAGCAGUGUUUUUAAUCAAUUAUAUAAUAUGUGCACUCUCUUCGCAAGUGGAUACGAGUAUUAAUCAUGAAUAGCGAGGCUUUCAAAGGGACGUUAGCCCGCAGCUUGUUGAGUAAGCAAAGCAGAGACAACGAUAUGAUUUCACUAAAGCACCCCGCACCACUCACUAAAGAAGAUGGUAUAGGCGCAGAGGAAACAAAUACCCAAUUUCCCUUUCCAUUAGCUACAGUCAAAUCACAGAAUUCAAAUAACUAGUCUCAAGCACGUGGUAUGGAUCCCAGUCAAGAAACAGCUCCUUAUGAUUCUUCUAUUUCGGAUGUCUACUUCCCUUCCCGCAUUCCUUUCUUUUGAAUCAGUUUCCGAUCUUUCUACGGCUUAUGUAUCUGAUCUUGUCGAUGUCUACUUUCCACCUUCCGCUUUUGAGAAAGCAUCAGAUCUCGUCCAUGAAACUAUAACAUCAAUAGACUCCAGGACCGAUGCGCUUUCACCAACAUGUGACUUUCAAACUCAAACUCAAAACUAAGAUUUUCAGAAUUAAGCACAGAGUGACCUAUAUCUCUAAUACCCCUAUGGCUAAUUAUUCUAUUUAUUGCCUGCAUACUUCAACUCGCAAUUCAAACUUUCAUCGUUAACUUCAAUUCGGAAAUGAGCAACCAAGCAACUAAAGGAGAGUGAAUAUGAGUUAUAACCAAGUAAGACAAGCUACGACUAAACAAGCAGACGGAUAAGCAACUCAUUGAGGAGCAGCUAGACUUAACGAGCACAAGAACUCAACUUGAAUAACAGACCUCGAACUCCACUUUCUGAACCUCGAAUAUAGUAUUCUCUUCUCAAGGCAUCGCAGCUGACGCUGCCCUCGCUUCAAAGCCUACACUGUAAACUGGAACAGACCCGUCUUUGAAACUCAUCUCUUACGCGCAACUCAAUCAAAGAUUCAUUUCUGCACUAGAUGUCAUAUGAUUUCAUUAUGGAAUUGCGGAAAGCAUUGCAACAUUCAUUGAAAUCCACUACUACCGUCCCUGCUGCUUACUGACUUGAUAGUGCUGAUUCUCUUUAGUAAGAAUUCCACUCACACUCGAACAGUAACUGGAACUACACUUGGCCGUUAUUACUUCUACUGACUACGUUGCUUGGCGAGCUAUAUAGCCUUGCCAACACUAGUGGAUUUCUUGAUUCUUAUAUUUCUGUCAUAUUAUUGGUAUGGUAGCUUGGUUCUAUCUCUAUAGGCGCUAGGGUCGUACCUCUAGAGUAUAGGCAUAUAAAAGCAGCAAUACGUAAUUUAGGUAAGCAGUAAGGGAAUGAGAGCAAAGAGAUAUGGACUGAUUAGCAGGUUAUUUAGAAUAGGAGUUAACGAGCCGCAGACUUAAGUAAAGGGUAUUAGGUCAAGGUAGGCUUAUAGGCACCGGUUACAGAAUGAAAGAGAGGAGCUAAGAGCCUUUGAGUUCCGGUCCUAUUUUUCUUUGGUUUACUCUUUCUGGUAGCUCAAUUACAUCGACCCUUGGUAUCGGUGAUUCAAUUCAAGACUAGAAGAGAAAGUACUAGGGGCGGUAGCUCCACUCUGAUAUUAUUAAGUUACAGCUUGAAACAAACAAGCAAAGGUCUGAGUCGAUAGUCAUAGAAUUCAAGUAAGGGUAGGCUAGGAGAAAGCAAGGCCAGGGCUCUAAGUGAAAUAAGAGUGAGUGUGUCAGCUAACAGGCGAGGUUUGGGUUUCGGUGUGGCAGCCUUAUAGACAGGAGAGACAGGAUCGAACUAGCACAAGCAAUGCUCUAAGUGGGUAGGGGCAGACAGAUUUGCUAGUGGCCAAUGAGGCUCGGGCUUCCAAAAACAGGACUUGCUCAUAAGUAAUUGCUUGCCUCUGAGUAGCUAGUGUCAUCCCUAGUUAAGAGAGAAAGGAUCUUAAAGCAAGCCAACCAUCAAGAGAAACUACUAAUAAGUAGGGAGGAGAUCUAUAAGGUUGGGAUUAAUCGUUUCAGUUGGAAUGCCCAAUCAUUAGCGCCAUUCUAUAAGUUAGUUAACAAGGCUUAUACCCACGAGCUCACCGACACCGGCACCAGUAGCACUGGANNNNNNNNNNNNNNNNNNNNNNNNNNNNNNNNNNNNNNNNNNNNNNNNNNNNNNNGGAACUCUGGUCUGGCUCUGGCAACUGGCAAUACGGACUUUCUGGUUUCAUUCUUUUACUCACUUAUUCCAUUAUGUAUGUUCAAGUCUGGUUCUUCUGCUCUUGAUCUCCAAUCAGUAUUUCACUUAUUAGUGUCUGGCACUGCUUUAUCUCAUUCCCUAUCUCUACAACUUAACUGGGCACUAUCCAAGUCUAUUGCUCCUCUUGUUCUCGGUCUAUAACACACACUUUGGAUUCUUUAUAUAUCGAUAUGGAUCCUUGGGGAAAACCUUACUCUACUUCAUAGAAAUGGAAAUCUGACUUCAACUAUCUAUUAGGCUUCCUUUCCUCUAUCUCGUUCUACUGCUACCAAUAAACAGAAUUGAGCUGCUGACAAACAGACUGGAGCCCAGUGCUUUUAAUACUGGAACUUAUAGUGAAAUACUGGAACUUAUAGUGAAAUAAUAAAGAGUGGCACUGGGGAAUACGAGAAUGCAACAGAUACUACUAUUUCACUACUACUGAUAAGGCCUUAGCUCAUAACUAUCAAUACCUCCGCUCAUAACUAUCCGUAGCUCACAACUAUCAAUACCGUAGCUCACAACUAUCAAUUUGGAUGAAACUAUAGCACCAACACUCCCAUUCUGAUUUGAUUUCCCAACUGACUAGCCUCCACUCGUACCUUCGUCCGCGAUCGAUGCGCUUAACUAACGACUAUUGGAAUUGAACCACUGAUCUAACAUCUUGCUUGUUAGGGCACUGAUCUAACAUCUUGCUUAGGGGUAGCUUGCCACUCCCUGGCUCUCACUCUGCUAAUCCAGCCUUUGAGUGUGUAUUGAUGGUUGGAGUAUGCUGCCCCUGCAUCUCAUUCUUUAGUUCACCUAAACUUCUAUAUGCGAGGCUCACUCUGGGGCAUUCCCCUGUCUUUAAAGCCUUACUUUUGAGUUAGAGCUUCUCUCCUUUGGGUACCUCUCUAUAAGAUGGGACGGAAUCUUACUUGUAUACAAGAAUAAAAGAUAGGAAAGCAAGAGUGAAAAAGCAAGUCAAAGAGUAGAGCACAGAAGCGGAAAUGCGGGUAGAAGUGCAUAAGCAAACUCAGGAACAUCAACUCCAAAGUCAGAGUUAACUGUUGUGUAGUAUUAGACUCUAUUUUAUAACGAAGUAGGACACUCUAGUAUAGCUAUCGGAGUAGUGGUAGUAAGCACAAGGGAAUAGAACAAGUACAAGUAAAUGCAUAGGUGUCGGAUCGGAGGGAAUCAAUAAGUAGAGUAAUCAAACAGGAACCUUGAUUUGCUCAUAACAGGUUCUCUGGGAUACCUCAUAACUACUGACUUCCUUCCUAGCCUAGUCACUUCAUGAAACAACUAACCUAGUCACUUCAUUAAACAAGUAAUUCCACAAUCACCAGAAUAGGGGCAGUACCACCAACCAGUAGGAAAACAGAUGCAACUAGGAAUGACACAAGAACCAGAGCAGUACUACCGGUAAGUCAACUCUCUUCUCUACCUUCUCUGGCUCCGGCUACUAAUCUCACUCGACUCUGGUUCAUCUAGAAGACUCACUGUUUUCGGGAGCUAAACUCAGAUAGAAAGUUAAGGUCAUAAACCGGUUAAGGGCAGAUUCAAGUUCAAUUACGGGUGCGUGUACUCUUUCUGUUCCAGUUGCCUUACUUAUAACGGGAGAAUGUCCUUUUGAUUCUGAUGCAAGCUUAAGCAGAGAGUUGUCUUAGUAUUCUUAUAGGAGUAGAACGGUAAGGGAGUUCAUUAGUAAAGAGGAAAGAAUUCAUUACAAGUACUUACUCGCGGAUGAGGCUGCCAUGACAUAUGAUUCUCUUAAAGCAAGAGCCAGGGAGGAGGAAAAAAGCCUUAUUGUCUCCAAGAAAUAUCCGGUUAUUGGUGUUUCUCCAUUGCGAGUGGAAUCGUACAAAGAAUCAUAGGCUAUAAGCAUAUAAAGGAUCAAAAGAGGGAUAAAGGAAUGUUAGACUUGCAUCCGUUCCUGAGUUCACCUGUGCCCUUAAGUAAUUGCAAGCUUAGUUGUUAGUUGCGCGGUAUCCGAGUUAAGAGCAAGUCCUUUAUUCAGGGCGGCAGGAAGCUAGAAGCGUAAGAAAGAUAUUCCAGGUUGCGAGAGGAGCUCCUUGAUUACAUUCUAGCGUUAGCCGUUGGGCAAGAAAUAAGCUAUAAGUGAGUUCGCCGCACCGCACCUUAUUAGAUUAGAGUUUACAAAGAGGCAUAGGCAUAGGUUAAACGACCAUAAAAAGGAAUAAUAUGGAAUAACACGAUCUGAAUAAAAGGGAAAAGAGACAGUGCGGGUAUCAGCUGCAAGUGGUUCUGAAACUGGAACAAGCCCGCCCAAGCCCUUAUGUGAAGUAAGUUGACCGAAGCAACCCUUAUUUUAGACUCGGAAAAGCUGUGUAAACCCAACAAGUCACUUAAUGUUACGCGUUAGAAAAGUGACCUAUGCGAAACGACUCGAAUGGCUAUAAUCGGCAAAAGCACUAAAACCUGUGAGCUAUACAGAAGCAAGCCAAAGAGAUUCGAAUGGUUCUUUAACUUACAUGAGAUAGAAUAUCGUCAAAAAAGAGCAUAGUAAGCAAUUGAGUAAGCAGCAUAAGUCUCUGGAAAUGAUGUUUCUGUGUUUGUCUACGAGCGAGGUUCCAGUGUUGCGGUGCAAAAGUCAGUUACUAGAAGGGAAAGUCAGUUACUAAGUGACUAUAAGGGUAUAGAUUCGGGCAUGAUUCCUCCCCUAUAGACUCUCUCUGCGAAAACAAGAUCAAAUUCCUUAUUAGUUGGACUUGACUAAAGACUCACAUAAGUAGUACCAGGCCAAACAAUACUAAGUGCGCUAACAGAAAGGUAACCGUCGGCAAAGGAGCUCGAUGGAUCUGUAUUUGUUUACUCGGGGUCCGGGAAAGUGGAAGAAUUCUUUGCGCUAAUAGAGAAGGGGCCAAGCAACGGGCCAAGCAACAGUAAGAACGAAACCACUACUAAUAAGAAUUCCACUCCCCCUCUCUGGCUCUGGACUACUAUACUACUUAUUAAACUACUCGUAUACUAGGAACAGCUCCUGUCGCUAGUGUUCGGCAACAAGAACUCUCCUCUUGCUCUUCUCGGGCAACAAUAACCAUACCUUUCCUAUUACCAAUUCCCCUCAUUUAGUACUGGGUAGAAACCUAUGCUAUGCACUUAAGUAUCAAGUUACAUAUCAAGACGACUUUAUGCUCGAAGUCAAGUAUUCAGUUUCAAGCCUAAUAUAAGUAAGGGCAUCAAACAAAAGUGAGUGAAAAACCGAAACUACCAAUCCAUUAGAUAGUAGCACUGGUUGGCAAGGUAUGAUGAGAGGUGCCUUAGCCCCAUCAUUGCAAAACUCAUUUCUUUCUUCGGUCAAGGCGAGUGGAAAGGGAUAGCUAACUAAGCCCUUCUAUAUGUAACUCAUGCAGAGACUAUGAAACUCCUCCCUCGCAACGGUGUACUAGAUUCAAAUGAAAGAGAAACUAGAUUCAAAUGAAAUAAACUAGAAAGGGCAACUUACACUCUGCACUCUUUCCAUUGUAGUUGACUUUACGAAGCGAAGGAAAUCAAAGGGUCAUUUUCUAUAGGAGAGGAAUUACUAGCUCCAAGGCUUCAAAAUGAGAACUUCCUUCCUUGCCCUCGAACCGAGAUGUCUAGCCAAUCACCGUACGGAGACUCAGCUUGGGUAUAAAAAACAGGAUGGACAAAAUGAGAAGGAGACCCACUUGACCACUUAUCCUUUCUACUUUUUAGUGUACAGCCAUAGUCAGAUAGCAUAUAAGAGGUUUUGGCCUGAAAGAAAGGAGUAGCUACCCAGUGCGAUAGCUUGCUUUUACUAAUACAGGACCAACAUCGAAAGAAAGUGCAACUUAUAGAACAGCUGAUAUACAUUUUCCCUUAACAACAAGAAUCAAUCUCCAUUCACUGCAACUAAAACCUCCUUAAAAGUGAUCUAGUGAGACCUUACCGGUAAAGAUGACUAAGACAUGGAAAUCAAUCUAGCCAUUAGUGCCUUAUAUCUAGCCCCUUACUUCUCCUUUUAUCCCUGGGAGUUUACAGUUCAAAGCUAUGUCCUCGCUUAUCCAAUUGCGGAAGAAAGGGAUAGAGCAAACGAGCCUUGGCAGUCUCAGUCUAUUUUCCUUAGUGUAGAGAAUCCGUUUUCGGAGCUGUCCUACGCGGAUAAAGAAGCCUAACUAUCUGACAGGACUCUAAAGAAGUCACACCAUUAAGAAUGAGUGAGCGUACUAGGCCAUUUCUUUACCUUAUCUAUCUUUAUAUGGACUUUACCUUAAAUCGAAAUCGAAUAGUCGCUAGGGGCCUUUCCGUUUUCCCACUACCUUCUUUGAUGUAUGCAUAGCCAGUUUCCUGUGAUACAGAGUUCGUUGCCAGGCCAGUUACACCAUUCAAAAGAUUAACGGAUAAAUAGGCAAUAAAAUGGAAAUAAGUUCGCUCUCUUUCUUUUUUGAUAAGCCAGUACCUGUGCCUUCACCAGCCUCUCCAAUUACUGCAGUCAUAAGGUCAAGUAAAGACUUCUAUCCUAAAUGUAAGCCCUGCCAGCGAGUGUAGUAGUCGUUCUUACAGUUUCUUCUAAUAGAGAUGGGGCAGCUAUCGACUUACGAGAAUCAAUUUGUAUCUCUGUCCCUUCAAUCCUUUCAAGCAUUCCCUUUACAGCAAUGUGAAGCUAAACAUAUCCGCCAAGCCGACUAGUUUCCGUUUAUUGUACCUGUCGCUCCUGGAGUAGCAUUGGAAAGCUAAGCUCAUGGAGCAGAAAAGAGAAAGUUCCCUGACAUCAUCUAGAGAGAGGGCCAGCUCCCAGACAUCCAAUAGCAGUUAGAGAUAUGAUAGUUUGAGUUUCCGUUUCCGUCCCUAUUCCUGCCGAGCUUGUUGCAGUCUCCUUUUCUUCACUUCCAAGGUGAAGCGCAGCCCUCUUCUUGAAAGCCAACAAGCGCUAGGUAAAGGGGCACCAUCAAGUGAUCAAGGGACUAGUUUCAGGAAACGGCAUAGAAUGGAAUGUGUGAAGCAUCCAGCUAGCGAAUGGAAUGUGUGAAGCAUCCAGCUAGCCAUACAGUGAAAUCCGAGUUCUUUACAGGUCGGGUUCCUUUCAAAAGGGGCUUCUACGCUGACGCCAAGCACAAGCUACUUAUUUCGACUGAUUCCUUGUUUCUAUUAUCAAAUCCGGAGUUGGAACAUGUGCUCACUCGACGGUAUGGUGGAUAAGAGGUAAUCAGAGGCAAGCCAGCAGCCUUAAGCCAAAGAGGCACAACAGCGCAGCGAAAUGAGAUGGAAGGGCUCGAAAGCAAUAAAAGGUUCAGAAGCCCUUUGACCCAGUGCUAUCUAUGUUAGGGUUGAAUGAAACCAUAUCUCAUAGGGAAUAACUCGUUCCAGUACCGCUACCACUUCGAGUGCGAGAAGGAAGCCUGAUUCAUAAGAUUCAUUGUCUGGGAAAACCUUAUCCGGUAGGGAAGACAUCCCUACAGUAUUCUUUCCUCUGACUCAGUUCAAGGAAGUUCGUUUUUACUGUUCCUAAUUUGGGUGUUGUUUUCUUACUCAAUUAGAUAUAGAGAAGAUGUUUCUUAUUUGAGUUGAUUGAAGAUGCAAGUAAGAGGUUCGGUUACUCAAUGUUAGAAGAUGUUACUUUAUUUGAUUGAAUUAUGUGCACACUUAUAUGUAUGACUUGAUUACUUGACUUCACAUUUGAACACUUGAACUCUGACUCACUAGGCACUUAGGAACUCGCUUAGCGGAACUCCACUCCGUUAGCACAAGCGCUAAGUCAAUAACAAAGAAAGUCAAUAAUGCUCAUAUAUAUAAGGGCUAAGUCAAUAACAAAGUCAAUAAUGAGAGUAUAGAUUACUCUCGGUGCCUAUGCCUCUGCUCUGUCCUUUUUGAGUAGUAUAUCCUAUGCCUCUGCUCUGUCCUUUUUGAAGUUGUAUAUAUAAAUAGCACUCAAGUCUCUUCAGCAAGCAAAAGCGCAAGUAGAAACACAAUUCGAACUGUACUGUUGUCCCUAUACUCCACUCUUAUAACAGCGCUGUGCCUAUCUGUCCUUAUUGUUCGGUGCUGCCGCCUAUCCGAUAUUUCUCUGUGCUGUGCCUAUCUUCAACUAUUAUAACAGUGCUUGUGCCUAUCUUCUCUUUCUUCUUUUGCACUCAAUUCCUUUUGAACUCUCUGAAACAAGUAAGAGCGCAUGUGAGCUUGUUUUGAAGCAAUGCUGUAACGCUGUGUUAUGUUAUACAAUAAAGUAAUAUGUAUGCAGUGAGUUUAGGUAGUUUAUUGACUUUUGAAAUGGGAUGCUAAAUGGAAAGUUCUACGAGUGAGGGAUGCUAAAUGGAAAGUUCUACGAGUGGUAUUGAGAGCCGAUUCCCCCUAACCCAUAGUGCCUUACCUCCGUCAACUUCUUUCUAUGGGACCCCCUUCUUACGAGCUCAAUAACAUUGACCCUUUCCUUUCUCUCUAUAGAUUUUCCGUAUGCCUUCACUGCUCGUGGGCAUCAUAAAAUGGAAUCGAUUCUCUUUCUUUUCCUCUAUACUAAGAAAGAUUUCAACAUAACAAUAGUACAACAUAACAAUAGUAUAUUGCUCUUAUUCUUUGUUAUCGGGGCUGCUUUUCAGGGCAAGGCGCAUCACUCGGGAUUGAAUGUCAAGUGGAAUUCGAUCGACUUGCUUGAGUAAAGUAGGCCUAGUAUGCUAGCUCGACGCCGACUGCCCCUCUUAUACGACAACACAAAGAACUCAACUCCCUACCAAUGCGGUCCAUUCCCCUUUACUGUACCUUCAAGCUGUAACUACCUAGGAUUGCCUCUGCCUCUGUUUUUGUUGGCAGUCUUUAAGAAUCAAAUAGUCGAUAGAAACUCCCUAUUAGAUAGAAGCUCGUAUCACCUAUAAUUUAUGUUUAGUCUGUCCUGUCCUAUAUUUGAGUAAGUAUCCGUUAGGUUAGAUUACAACUAUUAGAUUCGAUUACAUUAUAUGUCCACUUCUCCUUAUUUUGAUAUCAUUUGGAGCACACUACUAUUCUGGGAUUGGAUUCUAUGGCGCACUUCUCUUCGAUUCCAUUAUAAUGUUUGUACAGGUACUUUCUGUUCUAUGAGUAGUUUCUAAUCCGAGUAGCGGUAAGGGUUGGUUUGAUUAAGUGAGUAAGCUGUGUUUUUCAUAUAUUCUUAAUAGAAAGUGUGCGUGCACUACUAAAGUAUUUGUACGUUUCAAUAAUGAGUUUCGUUUAGUAAAGUAGGUGGGGUUUGGGGGGUUAUAGUUGCAUCCGUGAAAUGGAAAUUCUGAAUUGUUGACAGGAACACUAGCGGUCCUCCUUAAUUCAGUAUACCUCUUAUCCUACUGUUACUACUGAGUUCAAUUAAUACUUGAGGGAUUCUAUUUCCAUUCUUUUGCCUAUCUAAGAUUCCGGGAAGGGCAGUUUAGGAAAGAGCCCGUCAGCCAUCUCGUCAGGAAGGAAGUCAGUAUUUCCAGAAGGCCUAGUUAGAUGCUAUUAUCCUGAGACCUAAGAUUUCCAGAAGACCUAGUUAGAUGCUAUUAUCCUGAGACCUAAGAUUCCCCAAUCACUAAAGGCGAAAAGUUUCCCCUCGGGCCCCUAUCCUUUCUCCUUACGCAAACAACCAGUUUCAGAAAAACAGCCUAAGACAUUAGUUUCCCGAAAGUAGAACAAGGAGACAACCACUCCUAGCGCGAGUCCAAAGAAUAGGAAAAGUGCUUGGCUUGCUUUAGCUAUAAGUCAUGAAGAUAGGAGAGGAUCAAAGUGUUGCAGUAACUGAAUCAACAGGAGAAGGAGAAUCAUCUGAGUCUCAAGAUUUCACUGUUUGAGUGGACAACUGACUAUUUCUCUUAGCACUAUAAUCAAUACUAGAAAGUGCCAUUCUUGGUGGACUUGCUCGUAAGGGAGUUGACCUGACAGCGAUAGAUUCCAUUCCAUUCCUAUCAGAUAUGCGCUCGGGAGCCAUCAAUUGCCAAGUCCUUAGUUUGGUGUUCGAGCGUCAGAAGUAAUGACCAGUCCAGUUUUCAUAUCAUGGGCAAAAGUCCAUUCUUUAACUAGCGUACCAGUUUCAGUAAAAUGCACUGUCAAGUUAGGGUUCAGUUCCGGUCCAGAAUCAAUUCUAUCCUUCAGUGCGAAGGUACGAUCGAGAAUAUCCUUCUUCCGCCCUAAGUCCUUAUUUCGGCUGUAGUUUAGUUCCAGUAUCCCUCAGCUGUAGUAAGAGAGCAGGCUUUGCACAUCAUUAUUCUUGUUUCGGGAUGCGAAAGACAGCGGUAAGGAAAUAAUUGAGUCACUCCGGGGACUGUAACACUUUUAGACCCCUUUUGAAUGAACAUGUAUCUGUUGGUGAAUACCCCUUUUGAAUGAACAUGUGUAUCUGUUGGUUCCGAUAUAAGUUCUUAUAGUCAAAUAAUCAUUGUUUUUCAUAUAUUCAUAGAAUCUUGCUUGCACUAAUUACUUAUUGACGUAGGGGUCACUUUACAACAUUAGAGAGUAUGCGCACUCAACUCAUAUCAUCUAGUUAUCAUCAUAUUGAAUAAAGUCAAAAAACUCCUUACUGCUAUUACCCCACCCACGGAGCAGAGCGGGAGCGGGAAGGAAUAAGUCUAAAGGGAAAUCAAUCAGUAUAAAGAAAGCGGGAAGGGCCAAGCAGCAAUAGAACCCAGUCACCAACCCAACCAUAGCAUAGCUUCCUUCUAACGCAUAGCUUCCUUCUAACAAGUGGACUCGCUAAGCACAACGCAACGUCUAUUCCUGUUACAGGCUUUUAAGCACUAACACUCGUUUUCGUUUUCAUUGAAGUCAGGAUAGGGUAGGUCGAGAUAGAAUCAAUUAAUUCUUAAGCGUUAAGUAUUGCCUGUUGAGUCCUUAGUUGCGCUAACAUAAGUUUUGAGUUGCAUUUGACUCUUAGCACUAUAAUCAAUGUAAAGGAAAAGUUGUUGACUGAAGAGAAACUGCUAAUUUGACUGUUUUCGUAUCAGCUAAAGCGUCAGGUAAAGUUUACGAGAAUGGGGUAUUUUACUGGUUUGGAUGCCAUGCCAUAAGUCAGGAAUACGAGUUCCAUUCCAGUUUUCCAGUUUCCGUGAAGUCGACAUCAUCACCUGGAGCAGGAUCAUAAGUGGUAAGGGCAGUGGACUCGGUUAAGGCAAAAGAAGACAGGCGGAUUUCUCUAAGUGGAAGCUCUGUCUUACCCUGUUUGUUAAUAGCAAAUAUCCAGAUUUCUCUAAGUUGAAGCUCUGUGUUACUCUGCUAAUAGCAAAUCCAUCAUUUGGACUGUGCUACUGCCACUUCAAAUACAUUUGAGCUGCAUGUAUAAGAGUUAGAGCAAGCGUUAGGCGAGUUCCUUUGAGCUGUCUGUAUGUAUCAAAGUGAGAGCAAGCGUUAGGCGAGUUCCUGAUGUUACACCACUCGUCAAGUCACAACUAUACAAGACAAGCAGGAGUGGCGCGUCAGUAGAGUUCGGUUACGCGGCAGUAGGGCGAUCCCAUUCUGGUUUUCAUGUUUUUCACUGCGUCGGUAAAGCUUCAAGGGACCCGUAGCCGAGUGCUGUUGUAUUUUGGACUUUAGCUCUGUUUGAAAAGUAUUAAGUAACAUGCCCACGUAGCUAUGCGGUUAAGGUUUACGGAACUGUAAGAAAAAACCUAGUACAGGUGCGCGAGCAGUGUGAGGGAAAGUCUAGUUCUGGCCAGGUGUUGGGGUGUCAAUAUUCUUUUCUUUCGAACAAGUGCGUUAGUUUCCUUCCCGAGGUGCCUACCUUAGUUCUUAUAGUCUUGAGUUGGUUCACUUGAAUGAAAAGCUGUAAGUAACGGAGAACAAGCAAGCCUAAGUGCUUACGUGCGUGUAGGUUAUUUUUCGUUUCGCAUUUAAGUUCCUUUUACUUUAACAUAUAAGGUAGGUGCACACUCCAUUCUUUUUCUGGUUUUCUUUAGAGUCAUGCAUUUCCAUUCUUUUCUUUAGAGUCCGGAGAGCAAGCAACAGUGUAAGGUCAAAAUGUAGUACUUUCAUCUAGGGUUCGGCUGCCCAUAUUCUAUUAUUAUUCUCUUUUGAGUGUCAGUUAGUGAAUCUGGAAACAAUGCUUGCUCUGUUAGAUUAAUAUCUUAUCGUUAGCUUACUCUUUGGGAUGCAGGGUAUUAUCAGACUGAUUGAUGCUUUGGGUAGCUAAGGUAUCUAACAAGUGCUUCCAAGCCUGAUACUAAUGUUCGAGUAAGAAUCCAACCAGGGAGUUAAGGAGUGGAGCUACUAAGUCCAGUAGCCAAAGAGAUGAGCUAGAGUUAAGAGAAGGAGUUAACCCUUAAGUAAUUGGGGCGGGCUUUCCCUUGUAUACGAGUUAGGGUCGGGUCGGUAAAAGAAAAUAAGAGAAUUCAGGCUCUUUGUUGCGAGAUAGAGAGCCCACUAUGCAAUCUGAAUCUAUGAAAUGCUAUGCUAUAGGGAGGUUCAUAAGAUUCCCAUGCUUAUAGGCGAGUUAGAAAGAUGCAAAUCCAGUGUGACUCGGCGCUUAGAGAGUUGGUAUCAGUUCAAUGAAUAAGGGAUGCAGAUGCUGUGUAUUUACUGGGUUCUAUACCAAGUGCUCAACAAUUCUAUGAUGAACUUUAAGUCGAGGUAGGGAAAUAGGAAAGGAAGUGGGAAAUCCAGGUCGGGAAAGAGGAAAGGGGGUACUGGAGUUCAAUCAGAUCUUUGCAUUUCCCCGUGCAACGCUCCUCCGCUAUUAAUUAGGACUUGGUAAUAGCCCCAUUAACAUAUAUUAUAUGAGUUCUUUACUUGUUAUGCCUUUGUAGUCGUUACUUGGCCGGGAUGCAACUGGGAGCCAACCCACGGAAGGAAACAUACUAAAUGAAUUAUUAUCUUAUGAGGAGCAACCAAGCUUAUACUAGUUAUGGGUACGGAGCCAGAGUCGAGGUAGGCGUUAACACUGGAGGUCGGGGAAGAGUCAAAGUAACCAAAACACGGGAAAACGUGAGUGACAGAGAUCAAACCAGCUUUCAAUUCAAUUGCAUUAAAAGAGGGAAANNNNNNNNNNNNNNNNNNNNNNNNNNNNNNNNNNNNNNNNNNNNNNNNNNNNNNNNNNNNNNNNNNNNNNNNNNNNNNNNNNNNNNNNNNNNNNNNNNNNNNNNNNNNNNNNNNNNNNNNNNNNNNNNNNNNNNNNNNNNNNNNNNNNNAAUAUCAGAAUUCAAUGAGUAAGGAUUAGGUACAAUCUAGAGCAUUGGACUAAAGGGUCAGACUCCAACUGUAAAUACAAAAGGCAACCUACCUCUAGCAAACCGAUCGCUCUCCACUCUCAAGUGAGAAUUGCCCUUAAUAGGUCUAAGUCACUACAACGUAGCUUGUCGACUUGGCGGGUAGGUGCUUGUCAAGUAGUCGAGUUAAAGAGACAGCAGGAGAUUCCAAGUCUGAGGAGGUUGAGAUGAAGUCGUCAGCAGCAGUAUCAUCAUAAGGAGCAGGCCAAGUUCCUGUUUCAAGAUCAGAAGUCGGGUAUUCUUGUUUCUGUUACAAAGAAAGUAGAGUUAAGGGAAUAAACUUAGGAAUGAGCGAGAUCCCACUCUAUUACUAUAUGCAGGCCUACUUACUUACUUCAUAACUAGUAACAGACUUCCUAGUAACUGACUUCGGGCUAACUCAACACUACUAACUUCCUUCCGCGCCUAGUAACUGACUUCGGGCAAUCCUUCUAAAAACAUAUACUGAUUUGUGAAAUACAGCAGAUUCCACCUUUCCUACUAGCUCACCAAUGAGUUGCAUUCUUGUCCUUGCUAGCUCCACUCUUAUACUAGAUGCUAAGAUUCUCCCUUACCUCUGAGUUUCAUUCUGACCUUCCUUACUAUUAGCCUGUUCGUUCUUAUUGCGAUUAAGUUCUCUCGCUCUUGUCUAUAAGCAUGUCCUUGCUUGCUUGAAAACUUUCACUUAUGCUCUUUCUUUUCAUUCUUAUUCCGUGAAAUUAGAAUAAUGAAUAAUAACAUUGAUUCACUUACAUUGGAAUAAUAAUAACAUUUAAGAUAUUGGAAAAGAAUUGAGCUCAGUAGUCAAGUCAAAAAAAGAAUCGAAAUAGGACAUACCGGAUAGAGUACCGACUUCAAAGAAGAAACCAACCCGGAAACUCGUUCUUUAGCUACUGCUCUCAAGGCUGCCCUUCCCUUCUAUUAAACUGGUCUCGUGAAUAUGAAACUGAUAUUGCUACCCGGAUGGCAUUAGUGCUUCUCAUUCUUUGACUAGUGCUUCUCAUAAUGAAAUCACUAUCACUGUCAACAAGAUUGAAGCAACUGCUGGAAAGGUUGAAACCCAUACUAAACAGAACCCCGUCCGAUUGAACUAGUGCUUCUAACAAUGGAACUGGCCGAUAUGAUUACUUUGACUUUGGACUUUGUGGACCGAGCUGUAGUCCUUCUAGCAGUGGGUUCGACCUUAUUUGUAGAAGCCACAGGCUCUUUGUUGGUAGGGGAAGUGGACCUUAGCUUAGAGACAGGAACAGCCAGCAUUAAAGCAAGUCAGGGGAUACAAAAACCAGUGUGGGUCGAGUAAUGCUUUGGAAGUACUAGGUUCAGAAGCAAACAGGUAACUAUCAGACUCAAGCUUACGUGUCUUGGCGCUUGGCGAGUUCUUUAUUCCUCAUUUGAUUACUAUCAAUGGAAGUUUUCAAUCCUAAUUAGUAGUGGUGUCGGUUUAGGAGAGAGCAAGGUAAGACUGAUGGAUAAGUUAAUAAGGCGUGUAUUGCUGGGGUUCAAUCUCUUGUUUAGUGUAUAAGGUUGAAUCAAUAGAAUUGGAAUGUAGUUAACGAGCUCCGGGCUCAUAGGAAGUCAAGUAACGAUCCGGAUACUUACUGACUUUAACUGUUUUGACUCUUGUAGUUGUCCCCAGUAUUCUUUGGUCUUAUUGAGGAUUCUGUCAACUCAUA
RNAcentral lists this long non-coding RNA (60764 nucleotides) under Musa acuminata (dwarf banana). RNAcentral's name for it is "long non-coding RNA (MACU_LNC007466)". The record is from RNAcentral. Lineage: Eukaryota; Viridiplantae; Streptophyta; Magnoliopsida; Zingiberales; Musaceae.